ACCAUGAUUUGCCCAAGAAGUCUCAGAUGUUCUCGUGUGUUGUGUGACAUGUAGAUGAUUUUGCUGCAGUAUUAGAAUUUGGAGCUUAAAUCUCAUCCUAAACAGUAACUGGGUAACAUGAAGAUCUCAAUAGAUGGUGGCAGGGAAGAAGCAGUCGACAGAUUUUGAAGACAUUACUGGGCUGGGGCCAAAUCAGGGAGACUCAACAAAGUACACUACAGAUUGAUGAAUGUCCCUUUGAUUGGAUUUUGUGAUAUAUACAGUAUAUAUGUAUGGAACAUAUGAAUCAUGUAUUCUUUCAAACAUGGAAACUGAACAGUUCGAUAUCUGUUGACAAUAAAUUCAAACAUCUUUCAACACGCUUGUGUUAUGUUGUACCCUAUGUAUGUUGUCAUGGAUAUUGACAUCUUUGGCAAAGAAAUUUAGCUCAUGCCUAGGUUCUUUACCUUCUGCUGAUGUUUUUGGGUAGCUAGCUGUAGGAUCGCUGUGAACAGAAAAUUUCUAGAUAAAUGCUGGCUUUCCAUGGUUCUCCACAUGCUCUAUUAUCACCAGCUUAUGCAAUACAAUACGACUUUCCACUUCAGCCGAGAAAUUCUGUGCGUUACUUCAAGUACACGGCUGUGGGUGUUCUCUUUAUUCUUCUUCCUUCUGCUUUGCUUAAGAAUAUGUUAUUCUUUGCCCCGACAAUAACAUUCUUGCUGUACGGAUGCGUUAAGUUACAAAGAAUGUUCAUUUGCUUCUCAACUUAAAAGGCUCUGAUAUCGAUGUUUUGUUCUGUGGAUCGAUGACAUUGCUCGUUUUGGUUUGAAGAGACAUGACAGAAGAAGAACUUAACAGCUCUUUAGAGUAUACUCCAACAUGGGUGGUAGCAGGUGUAUGCUUUGUCAUUGUUCUGUUAUCUCUUUGUGUCGAGCGUGGCCUUCAUAAACUUGGAAAGGUAAUUAAACUAUGUGCCCUCUUUCUGUUAUCCUAGUUGCAGUCAUUCUAAACUAUUUACUUCUUCGACUUUCUUGGUCGGAAGGUCCUACACUCUUACCCUUGUUCCAUCUUGUUGUUCAUAAAUCCUUUGCAUUAAGGACACAAAAUCUCUCCAUAUCAGGGAGACUUGCACUCUGACUUGAUAAAGCGCCAUCUAUGUAAACAGCUCCUUAUUCUCAAAUCAAAUGAGUAAUGCUCGGAGAACUAGUAACUUGAGCUGUGACUUCCUUAAUUUUAAACAAAUUUAAUAGAACAGUAAAUUCUUUUAUCUUGUUCAGUCGUCAUUAUAUUAUUUUUGCAGUUAUGAGAACUUGACAUAUGUGAAUCAGAAGGAAUUUAGUGAAAGGAAACAAUGGAAACAAUGAAUGCAUAGAUUCACUCAAUCAGUAAAUGUCAAAAACUAGGUUGUCAUAAAAUUAUUUUAACAAUCUAGUGCAAUUCAAAUAAACCAGACACAUUAGGAGAGGUAAUAGGCAUAUGACAAGAAUUCUUAGCUCUGUCUGGUGUAGAAUGAUUGUGUAAAGACUAUUUUGGGCUCAUUGCAAGACUCUUUAAGUAUUUCUGUUUGUUUUCAUGUUUUGCUGUCUUGGAAUUUGGAAAUUCAGUGCUUGCAGCAUGAGAGACAAGAUGCACUAUAUGAAGCCUUACAAAAACUAAAAGAAGGUCAUCUCUCUCUCUCUCUCUCUCUCUCUCUCUCUCUCUCUCUCUCUCUCUCAUUAUGGGUAAUGAGCUGCAUUGGCACCCUCUUUCAUUCUAUCUAGCCUAAUCACUCUUCUUCUCUUAUGUUGGAACAGAAUUAAUGCUUUUAGGGUUCAUUUCCCUUCUGCUAACUGUGUCUCAACGUUCCAUAAGCCGCAUAUGCAUCCCUGCCCAUGUCGCAACUCACAUGUUGCCAUGUAAGAGGGAAACUGCUGAGCACAAUACCCCUGCACAUUACUUUCUUAAUCAAGCUACAAACAAUGGCCGACGCCUUCUGUCAGAAGCAACUUCAGAUCACUGUCAGCUCAAGGUACCUCAAUCGUAGUAUACUUCCCCUUAACCAAUGCUUCUACAAUGGAGCGUUUUAGUCACAUUAAUGUAACUGGAAAUAAUAAGAAUAAGAUGAUAAUGCAUGUCCUUUUUGUUUUCCUUAGGGGAAGGUUCCGUUGUUAUCAUUGGAAGGAUUACAUCAUCUACACAUCUUCAUCUUUGUAUUAGCAGUUGUUCAUGUGAUCUUCUGUGUCUCAACUAUGGUUCUUGGAGGGGCAAGAGUAAUGUAUCUUUCACCAUACAUGACUAUAUAUGGAUAUAGUUUCAAGUUCUACAUCUUCACUGUGCUAUAUGGUUUACCAUAUGCAGAUUCGACAAUGGAAGCGCUGGGAGGAUUCCAUCCAGAAGGGUAUUAUGAACUUAAAAUCCCCAAGUCUACUAGUUUAGCUGGUAGACCAAGUGCUUAGUUUAGUUCUUUGAUCGAGUUGGAUGAAUGAAUGUAAUAUUCUCUACAGAUCGAAGAAGUGGCGUUGCUCACGUCAGUCAUCACCAUCAUGAGUUCUUGAAAGAACGUGCAGAUGGAUAUUGGAGAAGAGCAGCUAUUAUAGGUUGGAUGGUGAGUUGGUUAGCUUGUUCUUCUUUGUUCUUUUUCAGAUUGCUAGGGAACUCUCUAUCAUUUUUGACAAGAUGCUAUAACACUGAUUUGAUAUAUCUUGGUAGAUAGCAUUCUGCAAACAAUUUUAUGGCUCCGUCACCAAGUCAGAUUACAUUGCACUGCGGCAAGGGUUUAUCAAGGUUAAUAUCUCAUUAUUUCUUCUAUGCAGUUCUCAUACAAAUUUGUUGUGUUUUUUUUUUAUUACAAAAUGAAUAAAACUAAACUCUGAGUUUCCUUUCAGGAGCAUUGCCCUGGAAAUCCUAAUUUUGAUUUUCACAAAUACAUGAUGCGGACACUUGAGAUUGAUUUUAGAAAGAUUGUUGGGAUAAGGUGAUAUUAGAAACUAAGCUUAUGCGUUAUCUUUGUCAAUGUUAGAGCAUACCAGAACCAAUUUAUAAUAAUGGAGAAGAGAGUCUCAGUAGGCUACUAGGCUUCAAGUGCCUGUGGCUGUAAGAACAACACCACCUUGCAUUAGCCGGACAAAGUCGAACACACUAGUAUGUAUUAAACAUAAAACACAUUGUUACUCAAAAGAAAUUGACAACCAAGUACCUCGCAUCAGUUAUAUGCUCCAAGUAUUCUUAAACUGUGUAUCUUUAUAGAUAUUUUUUACUUUUACUGUCAACUAACUAACAUGAUCAAUAAUACGUAGCUGGUACCUGUGGCUCUUUGUUGUGCUGUUUUUGUUGCUGAAUGUGGAUGGUAAUUCCUAAAUCUCAGUUUGAGCUUUAUAUUCUGAUACCAUGACCAGAUUGAGCUUAUGGAUUUCACUCUCAUGCAGGAUGGAACACAUACUUCUGGUUAGCAUUUUUGCCGCUGAUUGUGAGUGUAGUUCAAUUAGUAAUACAAGUACAUUAAUAGAAAAUGCUGGACUUACCAGACUUGCUUAUCAAUUGAUGUGUGGAAGUACAUAUGACUGAAACAAAUGAGGUCCAAUCGACUGAGUUCAUUGUCACAUCAUUUGGUAAACAAAUUUGAUAAGCGAAGCGUUGUCUGUAAUCUUGAUCUGUACAUGGCUUUAAUUGAGAAAUGACAUGGGUGAUGCACAACAGCUUCUGCUUCUAGUGGGGGCCAAACUAGAACACAUAAUUAGCCGCUUGGCUCAGGAUGUUACACAAUCAGGAGUACAUGCUAAUGAAGCAGCUACAAGAGUGAGGCCUUCUGAUGAACACUUCUGGUUCAGAAAUCCUAAAAUUGUUCUCAUUUUGAUCCACUUCAUUCUGUUUCAAAAUUCAUUCGAGAUUGCAUUCUUCUUCUGGAUUUGGGUACGUCUAUCUGGUAUUUAGAUUUAAUAUAUCUAUCCUACAAGUUCGAGUUAAUAAUCAAAAUCACUGAUUUUAUUUUUGCAGACCACCUAUGGAUUUCACUCAUGCAUCAUGGAAAAGUUGGGCUACAUCAUCGCCAGACUUAUUAUGGGGUAAUAUUCCUACUCCUAUGUGUUUAAACAAACAAGUAUUGUUUUCAAAAUUCAUCCUUUUUCGGUGUAAUUGUAACAUGUCAUUUGAUUCAUAAGUACUUGCUAAGAUAUAGGUGAAUGCAUUGGUUAUCAGAAAACGUAGAUUCAAUAUGUGACGAUCUAGUUUUCUUAGCUGCCUUCCUCUGUUGUGCAUUGCUUGGUUCUGAUAGAAGCCAAAGAUCAUUAUUCAUAGUAGCAGUUCUCACUCUAAGUGCUCAUCUUGCCCCGCAGUUUGAUAGUUCAAGUGCUUUGCAGUUAUAGCACCCUACCAUUGUAUGCAAUCGUCACUCAGGUGAGGCUUCUCUCUGUCCGACAUUUUCACUCUCCCAUGUACACUUCCCUGAAUUCAUUUCUACUAUGUGAUAACAUGAACUAAUGACCGUUGUAUGCUUGAACAUUAUGGGAUGAAGAUGGGUAGCAUGUUCAAGGAAGGAAUGUUCGAUCAAAUGGUGCAGAGUGCCAUCGGUCUGUGGGCUGGAGAUGUAAUCAGUCGACGUGAAGGCAGCGGGCGAUCCUCCUCAGGCAGUGUGCACAAAAUGAUCAAUAAUGAAUCGACCCAAACUGUCGAUGUGGCAGAACAAGAAAUGGUUGCCAUGGCUAACACUAUAGAUGUGCUCCCUUGUCAUGUUCAGCCACCUUCAUCCUCUUAGCUUUGUUUAUCAAUACCUCAUUCUUUAACUUAAUAAACAUAUAGUACACAUGCCUUGAACGGUGAAGCAAUAAUACAAACAACAAAGAACACAAAAGGGCUUUGGUAUUAUUUGAUUAUUGCUAUGUACAAUAGCGCACUCUAUGCCUUGAGCUAAACAAAAGUAUGUUACCUCCUCAAAAACACAAACUAUGCUCGGAAGUUUCUCUAAGCUUUAUACAAGAUAUUGUCCAUAUUUCUAUUUUUAACCUUUUCUUUUGUUUGCAUAUCAUAUAAUUACAUGGUUAAGAAGGAAAAACUAAUAACCACUCCAACUUCUCCCUAAUAGGAGGAAAAAAAUAAAGUGAUUUGCAGCAUCACUAGCAAAUCCAAUUAUCUGCACUGAUAUACUACCUGAGUGGAACCCUAGGUUUCUCCUACAACGUAAAAAUAUGAGGCUUUUCAAGGGGAAGCUUUUCCAUCUGUAAGCUGGUAUGGUCAGAAGCAGCUGCUUCCACCCCACUAGACUCUGCCCUCUUUAGCUCAUUUAAAGCAUUUUUAGCAUAAACAGUAAAAGCAACGGUGGUUACAAUUGCAACGAUUAAGGAUAGAAUGUUGUACACAAUCUCAACUGUGGUUAAGUGAUAGUUCCCAUACUUGACAUCCGCAAAUGUCCUUAAUAAGCGACCACUGCACAAAAAUACAACAGAAGCAUUAACAUGCUAAUUUUACCAAGAAAAUAGAGCUGCUGUAAAACUAGCUAAUAGGGCACUAGAUAACAGAUGCACAGAUAUUUUCAGAAUUAGUCUAGGAUAGGGAGUUGUUAUAUAAAUUCUUUUUGCACUUUCAAAUACGGACUUGUUAAGAACUUUUCACUACUAAGCAUCUGAGCAAGCAUAAAAUGAAUAUACUGGAUAGAGAUAAGACCUGUAGAUGUAAAUAAAAGCUUCUGGUAUCAUCCCAGCAAUUGAUCCCCACAAGUAGGGCCAAAAUCUCAUACUUGUGACCACGAUCGCGUAGUUGAAUAUUGUGUAUGGAAAGGGUGAAACCCUAAAGAGAGCAACCACUCGAAAUUGAUGGAGCCAACUCCCUUCCCCAGCAAGUCUAAUCAUUGCAGCAUUUCGAGGCCAUCUCUUUAACCAUUGCUGCCCAAAUAAGAAAAAUCAGUAUCACAAACCUAGAAAUGUAAAUGCUUCAAAAGACAAAGAAAACUCUCUUCUAUAGUCAUAAUAAGUUUAAGACUACUGAAAUCUUACAUGGAUGCGGUCACGGAAAUACAAACCAAUCAAAUAUGGUAGGAUCAUCCCAAUAGUUGUCCCAACCAUAAUUAUAACAAAUCCCAAGCCAUAACCAAAAAUCAUUCCAGCCAACCACAUUGAAGGGCCAGACGGAAUGAAGAACACAGGGAACAAUGCCAGAGAAGCAACGAGAACAAGGGCAAGAACUGGACGGCCAAAGGCUGUGGCUUCCCAUCGCAUUAUUGGCAACAGAACCUAAAGAGCAAAAGAUCAUUAAGGGCUUCAGGUAAAAUAAAACUGCCAAAUAUGCACCUACACACAUAUUAUAUAUAUAUAUUUAAAUUAUAUUAUUAAACACAAUUUUCACAGAUUAUCUAAACUCCAUCAAAUUUGCAGUCAACAGACAGAAUUUGUGGAGGUUUAAUAAUGUUCAUCAAGUGAAUCAGCCCAACAAUCUAGUAAAAUAUAAACACGUAAAAAGGACAAAAACUACUUGAACCACUAACAUGAGAAGACCCAAGAACCAUGAGUUAAUAAGUACCUUUUCAAAAAGAAAUGGAACCCCCCAUUUCAAGAAAAUGAGAAGCAAUAUAAUGGUGACAAGGCACAAGGCUAAGGCUUUAAUCCACCACCAAAAUGAUUUAGCCCCUGCUUCUGAUUGAGACUGUAAAACAUCUGCUUCUAAUGUGUUUGUUUCGUUGGAUAUAACCAGCCUGACAUAUUCACUGUCUUCUCUCACAUGAUGCACUGAGUUGGCAUUCUUUUCUGAAUCUUCAGAAGAGCUCAUCAUCUUUUAUGAUCCCCAGAAGCAGAAGGCUUGUAUUCAACUGAAAUUGAUGAAAGCAACAAUACGGUAAGAUACACAACUAAAUUCUUUCCACUUGGCAUAAUCUACAUAUUCAUAGCAAUAGACAGGACAGUAAAAUGUCAACAACUUUUUGAGAAACUCUCCUGAAUUGUAUAUGCCAGGAAGAUACUUACUAUUGCAUGACUAUUCUUUACUCAUGCAUCUGAUUCGUGAAAAGAAUCAUGACAGAUUCAAGAAGGGAAACAUUUUCUUUCUUAUUUAGUAUUCUAAACACAACUUAGAAAAUGUAUAGAGUUCAAUUUUACCGUUCUUGCAGCAUUUUAUUAACUUCAAGUAUUCUAGUAUAAAAAAUAAAAUAAGAAUAAAAAAAGCAAGGUGUUCUAGUAUGUUAAGAUUGCCUAAAUCAAAGCCAGAUCAAAAUGGAAAUUUCAAGCUCUUGUAAUACUGAUUAGAGAACAGACUUAACUCACUUAAGUUUACCACGCUUGGCUCUCUCUUUAUCCUUUUAUAUCUCUUUCAGCUUCUUUCCCUCCCUCCCUCCCUCCCUCCCCUGAAUUUCCCUUUGCCCUAUGUAAAUAUGAUAUUAUACUAACCUUCAACCUCAACGACCGCUGUGUUGAAGUCCCAUCUCAUGAUAAAUUUGCACGAUAGUAUACGCAAGCACAUGUGCUGUAACCAAUACCACUGCAAGUGCAUCCACUACAGUCGACCGCACCUGCCAGCAACAAGCUUAAGAGUAUCACCUUGCAGGCGAGCCACCAUCUCUUUCGCAUAUCAUCUCAGACUGUUAAGCCCAUUUUUGAUAUACUGAUCUACAAAGCUUUGUCAUCCGCACUAGCAUGCGCCAUGGGUCUAAGCCUGACUCAUUGCCUUCUCCACUACUCCGCAUCCCAUUUAGAUCAACAAAAUGCAUCAUUGGACUGAAAAAUGGGCUUAUCUACACCAGCCCCAACAUACUGGUUGUCAAACGACCUACUCCUUAUCAGCUAAAGUUUCCUUAUUCAGACUAGUUACACACACUAAAUUACCUUACUCUGCCUGACACAAACAUGAAUUAAUCCUGUUAUGCUCACAGCAACCGUCGAUCAGCUUUAACUAAUAAGAACCAUUGAAAGGAAAAAGAACCUUUAUCUGUGUAAAUUACCCAACACACACCCUCCAGCGCUCCUUUAUCUCACCUCUCUCCUGACAAUGAAGUAUUUAAGAGAACCAUCACUCACUCUAACGCCGAUCCUAUAAGUCAAAUUACGGAGGGGAUAAAAAUAGAAACAGCAAGAGGCCUAAACUAUUUUUCAUAACGUAUCUCCCUAUAUGCUAACUUUUAACUCGACGAGCUCACCGAAAACAGAAACUCAUUGCAUUUGCAUACAUAAUUUACAGAAUGCUCUGAUAAACAUGCUCAGCAAAUCCGCAUUUCAAGCACACAUUCAUCAUUAGACUCGAAUUGAAAAAAGGCCAAAUCAAGAGGCAAGCUAAGAAAUCAACAGCGAUAGCGAAGAGAUAGACAGAAUGAUAAGGCAAUCUUCGAAUCAAGGACUGAUAGCUGAGUCCUGAAAGAGAGCUAGGGCUUGGAGUUUGAAGAAGAGAUCAGUGCGAAUUGAGAAGCGAGGAGUGUUGGCUAAGUUUACCCGAUGAAAUUUGACGGUGGAGAGGAGCGAGAGGAGCUUGAGUCGGACCACCGGAGCUGGUCGCCGGCGGCAGUCGGAGGUGCCUUGCUUGCUUUGCUUAGUUUGUUCCGAAAGCGUCUCGUUUUUCAACCAACCUGGUGCUCCAGCAGAGAAACACAAGAAUUAUUCACUUUUCUUUUUAUUUUUCGGUCUUUAUAUUUAAUCUACGGAAAUGCUUUUAGGCGGACGCGGAUUUUGGACCAUGGAUAGUCCGCCAACCCAUCACGACUUUUUAAUCUCCCCCUGGUCAACCAUUUUAUCGCUUUAUCACGGCGCCUUCUAGAACCCUUCAUUUUUUAUUUUUCUGUUUCUUUCUAUCUGCCCUACAUCAAUAGUGGGUUCAGUUAAAUUUGUUAGGAGCGGUCUUUCACUCUUAAGCUCUGAUUUCCAAAUAAGGAAUUCUUUUAUACUGAUUUCCAAAUAUCAGUUAAAUUGUGAACUAGUUUAUAUACGAACUUGUUUCUUCACUAAAAAAAUAAAUAAAUAAAAGGGAACUUGAUUCUGAAGCAAGCAAGCCAAGCUCCUGUUUCAGGAGAGCGAAAUCUAGGUUUUAAGUAAACGACGACGGUGCCACAUCAUUUGGAUCACGUCUUUCCUAGCAGCAUUUUGAUGUUAGGCUUGUCUUCUUCAUCUUCAACGCACAAUUUUUCAACCGGCUUGUCGUCUGGUUUCUUGACCUAGUGCAAAGUUUCAUUCCUGGUUAGGCAAAAAGCCAAAAAGGAGAAGGGUUGAUUGAUGAGGUUUUGAACCUCGAAGGUUGCAAACUUGCAGGCUGUGGUGGGUGUUAAGCCGAGAUCAGCAGCUUCACUCUCGAGGUAUAAGCAGUCACUACACAUGGUCUCUCUUGCAUGAUUAGCAUAUUCUAAACAUUGGGAAUAAGGAUAGCUUUUGUUCUCCAGCAAAAAGUAUAUCCCUUGUAUAACAACGAACUCAUCCAUCCACACAACAACCAAGUCUAUCUUCCCCUCUUAGUUGCCUAACUUCAUUUGUACUCCUCGACAUAACCCGGCUGUGGGUGAGGGUGAUGAGUUGACUUCUUUCAUGCAAGCCAACAUCCUUCUCUAGUUUCCCGUUUAUAGGAUGUUUCCUUAUGUUUGUAAAUCAUGUGGCACCACCCACAGUGUGAAAGUAUCAGGGACCUUCCCGUUUAUACUACCAUAAUUCACAAACAUUAGGACCUUCGAUGGAGACUUCUUAGAUAUGGGUCGGGUGGUUGUUUUUCCACUGUGUUCAAGAAUCUCAACUCUCCCAUAUGGUUGGGUUCCUUCACCUCUUCUUGGUGAUCUUUAUACUCUCGAUAUGUGAGCUUGCAGGGCUGACAAAGCCGUCUUGUGUGGGCACUUGUUUACUCUAUGAUGUCCUUUGCAUAAGAAGCAUGAUAAAGUCUCAGUGUGAAGCCUGCAAAGUUAAAUUAUCGUGGGGGGAAACACCCAUAUUGAGGCGGCCAGUUUGGAAGAGGUUGUAUCUUUGAAAUUAGUCACCUUUCUGUCCCCUCCUCCGGAAUUAGAGAAUCUCGACUCCACUCUCCCACUUCUACUCUAUAUAUCAAAUGCUCAAACACACAUAUCUAACUUUGGCAUCAGAGUGUGUUUGACCGGUCUUAGGCUGGUCCUCCGAUAAUCAUCUAUCGCUUCAUAUUUGCAGGUCAUUCCCAUAGAGCUUGAAGGCUCAAUAUCAAUCGAAGGAAGUCCAUCAAAAGAGUGGAUGCAACCCACCACGAAGUGGAGCAUGAAGGCUCAACAUCAACUGAAGGAAGUUCACCAGAGUGGAGGAAGUCCACCAAUAGCACCUGAAGUAUUAUAAGGGAAUGUCGUGAUAUAGUUUUAUAAUAUUUGAAUGAAAUGGAUUAAUUUAAAUUUAAUUCGUAGAUUGUAUAUCACGUUUAUACCUUUUAAAAUUCUUAAAUAUUAAUGAAUUCAGAAAAAAAAAAAAAUUAGAGCAUGUUGAUUAUAUCAAAAUUCGAGGGCAACAAUAAUCUUAGUUUAUCAUGAGUAAAGACACUAUUGCUGACAUAAUAACCUCUAUAUGAAAUGCUGACAUGAAUGAAAAAAGAACAGUUCGAAUACCAUCUACUAACAUCACUAAAAAUAUCGUUAAAAUACUUUUACGAGAAGGUUUUAUUAAAAACGUGAGAAAACAUCAAGAAAGCCGGAAGCUAGCUCACUUUCAAAGAGAGGAAGCCUACCACGAAGUGGUACGUGAAGGCUCAACAUCAGCCGAAAGAAGUCCACCAAAAGAGUGGAUGAACGCCAUCACGAAGUGGAGCAAAAAGGCUCAACAUCAGCCAAAUGAUGUUCACCAAAGGAGUGGAAGAAGUCCAUCAAUGAAAUGGAGGAAGCUAGCUCACCUUCAAGGAGAUGAAGCCCACCAUGAAGUGGUACGUGAAAGUCCAACAUUAGUCGGAGGAAGUUCGAGACGGGACUACCAGUUUCUCCGACAAAGGAGUGGAUGUAGCCCCACCAAAUGAGUGGAGGAAACUCACCAAUUAGUGCAGGAAGUUCGAGAGGAGACUACCGGUUCCAACGACAAAGAAGAGGAUGAAGCUUACUAUCAAGAUGAGUGUGAAUGCUCAACACCGCCACUGCCAGAAGGAAGUCCAAGAUCAAGAAUCUAGUCUUAUUCAAGGAAGUCGAAUGCACAAGCUCAUCGAUGUCAUACCUCAAGUCACAUGCGGUGGACUACUAAGACGCGAUAUAGGACCACGGUGACAUAUCUUCAGUCACUGAAGAUAGACGAUCAAAACUAUGGAAAUAGUCAAAACCGAAGGGCGAAGAUAGGCCCACUAAAAGAGAAUAAUCCCACCACUUUACACGUAUGAUUUCAACGAAACUCUCGUUGACCCAUUGGUGUUAAAAAUGACAUCAACAUAUUGAUUGACAUUACCGGCACACUAGACUGCGUCGAUGAUUUGGCGACGUGAGUAAAUGACCUUGAAGGGUUGAGGGACCAAGUUACGGCCCUAGAAAAGAUGAAAGCUUUGAGGACAAAAACAAAUUACGAGAGAGGAGAAGGUUCUUUUUCACAAGAGCAUAUGGGGGCAAUGUAUGAUGCCCUCGACACGGUGCAGACACCCAUUAAAAACGAUCGAGCUGGUGGAGGCUGUCUGAGCCACCAUUAAUAUAAUGCAUUCAAAAAUGAUCGAGCUGAUGGAGAUUAACACCAAGCUCAAUCUAGCCAUUCGGGCAAUAGGUAACCAACCCGUGAUGAACUACAAGAAGGUGAAGAUCCCGAACCUUAAGCUUAUGAAAAGGCGCGAGCGCUAAGGAGCUUGAGAACUUUCUAUUUGAUAUGGAGCAAUAAUUCAGGGUCGUAAAUCCAGACUCAGAAGAAGCAAAAGUGAGCAUGGCGAUAAUGUAUUUGUCAGGCAAUGCCAAACUGUGGUAAAGAACAAAAUACAAUGACAUCCAGAUGAAUGUUUGUACCAUUACUACAUAGGAAGACCUCAAGAAAGAGAAUGUAGACUUCCUAGAUAAUGUACACUUCAUUGCCAUACGAUAGUUAAGAGAGCCGAAGCACACCAACAACAUUAGAGAAUUUGUGAACAAGUUCUCUAUGCUCAUGCAUGACCUCUCAGAUAUAUUGGAGAAAGAUCAACUACUAAUCUAUUUCCUCGAGGAAUUGAAGCCGUGGGGUAGAAAUGAACUCUAGAGACAAAGGGUUCAUGAUUUAGCCUUUGCUUAAGCUGUAGCUGAAAGACUUACAUAUUCCAUCCAAGAAAGACUUUGAAUGCUAGGUCAGGCAUCUCACGAUUAUUUAUGUGUGAGGGUUCUCUUCAUCUCUCGAACAAAGGUUUAAGAGUGUUGAAAGGUCAGAGUCCUAAGUGGACAGUUUGACAUUUCAAUGCAUCCUAUGUGGAAUGGGCUGAAAGGUCAAGUUUCGUUGUCGAACCAAACUAUGACAUCAACACAAUCUAUUAGGGACUCUCGCUAGUUCAUAGAGUUGCUGAUCAUAAAAAUCAAAUCGUUGUGUAUUUGUCAUCUUCCCCGUCAUGGGUGUGACUCUUUGAGCCGAUUUGGCUCUGAUACUAACUGUUAUGGGCCGACUUUGCAAAGGAUCAAGGUGGACAUUACGAUACUUGCUAGUCUUGUAUUGUCGCAAGUCAGCCUUGUGUGCACCUUGCAAGAAACAAUGAAAACCACAUAAUAUUAAUAUAAUGCUAGCGACAAGCAAGAACACAGUUAAUUACAUAUAUGAGGGGCAGCCACGAGGGAUGAGUGAUAAUCAAAUGGAGGGCAAUAAAUAAUCUCACGGGACACAUAUAAUUGAAUAAUUUAUCUUUUAAUUGAUGAUAAGACAUUUAAGGAGGCAAAAAUACAUGUGCUUACCUAUACUAGUUCUAUAGUACAACUGUCGCCGACUAGAAACCCCUCACUGAAGAGCAUAUCGGCCAAUUUCUCAAUUGAAAAUUUGGAAGUAGAAACAUCAAAUUGCUGAGAAGGGUUCUAAAUAAAGUAAAAUACAAAAAAAUGUAAAUUAUAACAAUGUCAUUAGCACACAAGCAAUCAGCCAUAGGCUCGAUUUCUCUGUCCCUAAAACAGAUUGCUUGCGGCAUUACAAGUCUGCCCUUAACAUUGUGUUGAUUUGACCAAAUUAGGAUGUUAUCGACGUCCUCUGUUUGUAAUUUUGUUUUUAAUCAUCGGAAAAAGAAAACGACAUCUAAAUAUUGUAGAUUACCUUAAUUAUACGGUUUUUUUUCUUUUCUUACAUAUGGUUUAUAAACCCUUUUCGUUUUGGAAACUCAAAACACCCUAAAACCCUUGGAUUCUCUCUUCUCUUCUCUCCUCUAUUCCACUGUCUCUGCUGAUAUGUAAAAAUCUACGACACCGCAAAUGAUCGACUGAAUGAGUCUACAGAGCAUGCUACGAAGAGCCCUCACCUUCAAUCACCUCCCCAAGUCCGGUAAAUCUUCUACCUUGAAAAUUCUAGUGUUCAUCUGUGGUGAUUUAAGAUCACAUUUUCUUUGUUGGUUUUUUUGCAGUACUGCCAAGUGGGCUGCGUGGAAGAAGGCCCUAUGCUAGUAAUGCUGCCGCUGCCGCCGAGGAACCAAACCCAGAUGGUAACAAGGUCCGUGGAAGGAGGCGUAGCAAGAAGGAGCUCCAUGCUGUUGUGGAAACGGUUGUCAAUGAGUGAGUGUAUAUAUUAACUCUUUUUGUAAUGCAUUGCUUACUGGGUUUCGGUGAAUUAGUUGUUUUCUGGUUUUUGUGCAUUGGAUUUUUGUUGUUUAGAGAGUGUAGGUUGUAGAAUUUGGAGUUUCGUAAGGUGUUUGAAUAAAAUAACUAGAGAUGAUCGUUGUUUGCAGGUACAAGGCAAUGAAUGCGGGGAAAUUCCCUGGGAUUAAGUAUACUAAGAAACAAGUGGGUGGCUGUUACUAUAGAAUUCGGGGGAUCCUCCAGGAGCUACAGUACGCAGCUAAGAUGUCGCCUUCUAGUGGUGGGGUUGAGCAUUCGUUGGGACGAGAGGGAACUAGAGGAAGUGAGUCUUUGACUGAUGUUGUUGGUGUCAGUGCUCAAACUGUUUCUGAGGUGGAAGAUGACGUGGAUCUUGGCGUUGUCAGUGAUGGGAGUUUCGAAGCUAAGGAAGAGUCCAUGACGUCCUCCUCAGUUGAGAUCUUGUCUGAAGAGGUUGUCACUCCUGUAAGUAUUAAUCAUAGAUCACUGUUUAUUAGUACUAUAAAACUGUGUUUUGGUGUGGAAUGAUAUGCAAUUUGCAAGCCUGAAUCGUACCAGUAACAUUUCUCUUGAGGAACAUUUGAAUCUCCUAGCUAGGCGUCUUUCAUUCUUCUAAUUUGUGUAGAGUUCUGAUUGCAAAAACUAAAAAGUUAUUGACAUAGGUUCCACUCCACUAUUGAUGGCAACUUUGAACAGACUGAAGUUAACGUCAAAGUUGAUGAGAUGUAUAAACACGAGAUGAUAGCCAUAUUUUAUCAACAUAUAUUUUAUGAGACACAGUGCACCCUAUCCACAUGAGUUCUUCAAACCUGUGAAUUCAUGACUUGAUAGUUGAUACUUCUAGCAUUUUGAAUUGAGUUAAAUCUUCUGGCAUUUGGCUUUUGCAAGGGGUCUCUUCUAGCAUGUUUGAACGCCUCAUUCUCCAAUUUCCGGUCCUCAUAUCUAUAAUAACCUCAAAUUUUGUGCUGGUUUAUUAUUUAUUAUGCUCCUGGGACUUUGCGUUAGAGUGCACACCUUAAUAACUUCUUAUAGUUACUUAAGUUGUAUUUUCCCUGCAGGGGAGAGGCUCUGAUCUGGAUGUCACACAAAGUAAUAUUGGGAAAGUGAAUGCUGCGGAAUCUUCAUAUAUAGACCCUGAUAUAGUUGGCAAUGAUAUGGAGGAACAUACAAACAAUCAAUCUGUCUCUAUGGCUCCAGGACAUGAGAUUUUACAAGGAGGAUUUGAGGUUAUUUCUCAUUCACGUGACAAAUCUCAUGAUAAACCAGAGGAAGCUCAGGCUGAUCUACAUGAUGAUGUCUCUAAAGUAAAGCAUCUACAAAUAGGGGACAAUAAUACAGCCUCUCUAAGUUCUGAGUAUAUGGAGGAUGUUACUAAACCGGAUCUUGAAGAGUGUAAAAAGAAGCAACAUGAAGAGAUCCCUAAGGCUGAUCUACUGGAUUCCAUUACUGCAGAAAAACAUGUACCACCAGAGGCAGAUAAAGUAUCCAAGUAAGUUCUUAUUGUAUGCUAAAGUUCACAAUCUCAUAAUUAUCAUUCUGAACAAGAUUAAAAUUGGCUUUAUAUUUAGUGACAAUGUGUUGCCAUAGACAUUCACUGUCAAUUUGUUACAAUAGCAAAAGCACGUAUUAUACACAUAAAAAUGUGGUGCUUGCACCACGAAAAGCUGACAUUUUCUAAAUAUGGAUGUGGACAAGAUUAACAUCUGAUGAGUAUGAAAUUGGUCGCUUAAUUAUUUGGAAUACUACUCCAAACUUCACCUAUCUCAACUUAUUUGACCAUAUAUCUAGCACUCUUAUUAGUCUAAAAACAAAGCUGAGAAGUCUGCUUAGUCUUCCCCUUUAGCUUACUGUUCUUUACUUUUCUUUUGGUUAGCCAAGGUGAACUCUAACUUGUAUACACAUUAGUAGAGUUCAUGGAUCUUAUUGGUUCCCAGAAUGAACACAUGUGCUUUCCUAGUCAUUCACGUGCAAUUAAUGUUCUCAAACACCUGCUAAAGCACCAUAUCCGUGCUCUGUCCUGGUCAUGAUUUCAUGUAAACAAUACAACUGUUUCAUGUAACAUCCGGUCACACAUCAUGCCUGAAAUAGUUUUCUGAACAGAGCACGCUGGUCAUUCACGUGCAAUUAAUGUUCUCAAGCACCUGCUAAAACACCAUGUCCGUGCUCAGUCCUGGUCUUGAUUUCAAGUAAACAAUACAACUGUUUUUAUUUUAUAUAUUAUUUCUGUAAUUAAUUAAUAUUUCCAAUUUUUGUUUCUCGAUGAACAAACUUUAUUGAUACCACUAGCUGGGAUCACAUUUUUUUAUUUACUUUUUGCUUUUGAGCUUGCCGCUUUGGCCGUGGACAAUGUAAUAUAGAGAUAUAAGUUUGGGUAUUUUUCUAGUUUAUCCAGAAUAUAUGCGGUUAACUUGAGAUCAAGAUAUGUUAGUGUUAUUUGCUUAUCUUUCUUUCCUUUAGUUGUCAGGGAAAAAAGAGCAGGAUAAGUAAUAGACAUCUCACCUUGGUGGCUUGGUAUAUUAUUUACUACUCACUAUGAAUGUUAAUGACCAUCCAAAGUUGGAAACCAAUGAACCUAGUCUUGUCACAUUAUUGAUUUACUUAUUUCUCUCAUUUUCUGCUUAUGGUGAAGCUAUUUGUAGUAGAAUUAUGGACAGCUGAAGCCCUAACUCUAUCUGAUAUGCUUAGCUUUAAGUUAAAGCACAUGUAAUAAACAUGAUGUGACAUACUUUGCUUGAAUCAUUUUUUGCUUCUAUGUAAGCUGAAUUCAUUGUGCAGGGACCUCCCUGGUAGGCCAGCUGCUGAUGCCGAACCUCCGAAAACAACAACUCUAUGGGGUGCUGUGAAAUCUUUGGCGGAUGGAAUUAUCAGUAUUUUCAGAAAUCAGUAACUCUUUGUCACAUAAGGUUGGUAUCGUGAGGAGGUGAUUUUAUGUUAUCUGGUUAAUUAUUUAGUUUUCACAGAAUUGCUGUUGAAAGUAAAGCAAUGUUGAUCUUUGAAGUAGGUUAUGGAACAACUAGGAUGUUUUUACUAUGUAACUUGCAAAUGGUACUAGAAUUUUAAUGUGCAGCCUUAAUCUGUAGUUACAGUAGCUAGUCACAUGUAAAACAAACACUAACACAAUCCAAGAAGCUCCACAUUUUUGGAAUGUUCUCUUUUGUCUUUGGUUAAACAUUUGGGUAUAUGGGUUACAGUAACAUAUUUACAUAUAAGCAAAAUUCUUGUGAUAUCUGAGAAUAUCAUUCUUUUACAGAAGCUACUACACUAAACAAAAACUGGAUACAUAUUGUUAUGAUUUUGGGGUUUGGAAUUUAUUUCAAAGUUGACAUUCAAGUACAAAAAUUAAUAUUUAUAGGCCAUCCUUUCAUAUUAGGAGGAGACAUGCGAUGGUAAUUUUUUAUUUCUUUCCCUUUAGCAAAGUAACAUGCGAUGCUAGUUGAAGUAUGAAGGUGUAGUGAAUAUUUUAUCUUUAUGAAAUAAAAGUAUUUUGAUAAUGCACAACAUUGACACUGUUGUUGAAGCCAAAAUGUAUCUAGGUCAUCAAGUGUGCAUUUUUUGUAGCUUCUUGGCAUGAAAGCUUUGGUAUUUCCAUACUCCUGCUUGAGAUUAUCUUUUAAUGUUCCACCAUUAAAGACAUAUAUUCAUAUAACUUUUCCAAGAGAUAUAAAGUCAGAUAAUAAUUUUUAUUUUCAACUACACCUUUAUUGAAAUAUAACCUUAUAGUCAGGUUCAAACCUCAGGACUAUAUGGAGGUGUUUUACCGUGAUCAUUAAGUGGAAUUGAAUCAGUUGCCAAGUCCAUUUCAGUUUCCACUUUACUUCAACCUUCAAGCAUAAAUUUGGAAGUAUUAGAAUUUGGUUAUCCCCUGGCUUCAAUAAUCACAGCGCAUCUCUAGUCUAAUCUAGUUUGUCAUGGACCUUUUGAGCUAAAAACAUGCUGGAUUGCUGGGAUCACACUUACCUUGAGAGAUUUGAUAAGCAUUCUCACCUAUUUUAAAGUCCUUGAGCAUUCGAUCUACGGUGAAGUGUAUGGUGUAUAUUUAUGAGGGAAUCUAUAUGAUUUGUUUUGGCUGCCGAGUGUUGUAAGUAUUCAUAUGGGUUAAUAGGUGAGUUGGGUAAGGAUACUACUACUGGGGGUAAAUAAUGGUGAUGUUACAGUGGAGACUUUAUUAGCUGGAGAAAGAAAGGUAGUAAUGUACUAGAGAAAGUUCCCAAGCCUCAUGACACUGACCAUAAUGGUGAAAUAAAAGCAAAAUUGAUAAUGAUCCUCCCUUAUUGAAGAAUGAGACCACAUCCAGAUGAAGGAUGCAACUAGUAGAUUUCCAGGGGUAGUAGAGGGAAGUGAAGUAUCUUUAGAGGAAAGCAUAUUGAGAGUCUUUGCUGUUUGGGUGCAUCUAGUGAUGCUUCAAGUGUCCCAGCUGCUUUUGGUAUGUGUCUCCCUGAGGAAGGCAUGUAAGCUUUAGCGGACAGUAUAUUGUGAAUGUUUGCUGUAUGGGUGCGUCUAGUGAUGCUUCAAAUGUCCCAGCUGCUUUUGGUAGGUGCCUCCCAAUGUGGAAUAUAUGCUUCCCUUCUCCAGAGUUCACAAUGUGUGGACCUUGGAAUCUUGGAUCUGAUCCAUGCUUUUAGAAUGGAUAUUCUUUGUCUGUGAACCUUGUGCCUAAUUUUAUAAAGUCAAGGAUCUGCUUAGAAAUCUAGGUUUUCCCAAUGCAGUACGUGGUGGAGGCGGAGGCCGGAGUAAUCUUGUUGACAGCAAUAUCCAUUCUAUCAUUACUACGAAGGUGAAUGGAGUUGAGAUGCUUUGAUCCUUACUACUGUCUAUACUAGUUCUUGCUGCUGUUAAAAUGGUUGUGUCCCGAUACCAAGCUCCUGAUUUCACUUGGAAUAAUAAGCGAGAAAGAGUAGAUACUAGAUAGAGGUACUGGUAACGGUGAAGGGAGAUGGACGUACAUUUCCUGAAGCUUUUAUUCAACGAUUGCUAAGAAUUAAGUCUGACCAUUUUCCUACCAUUCUUUGCAUUGUAGUUCUAUAACAGUAUUCUGAGGCCUUAUAAAAGCUAUGUGAUGAAUCAUGAUAACUAUAUGGAGUUUAAUCAUGUCAUAACAGAAGGAAGUCGUGCACUGGAAACCAGUUCGAGCUUUUAGAUCUAGGCCUUUUUUUGUCUCAAUCCUCUAUUGCAGGUGAUCUUAUUCUCUUUGCUGAAGAAAGCUUCCAUCAAGCUAAAUUUUGUUUACCCAAAAAAGAAGAGGUGACUAUAAACACAGUACAUACCAUAGAUAAUAUUACUCCACAAUGCUUGGGAUAUUCAUGAGCUUUCUACCGUGUUACCUAAUGCUAUGAUUAGUAAAACCUGCUCUAUACUCCACUGCCCUUACUCCACAAUAUGUAUGCUUGGGAUAUUCCUGAGCCACAAAUCCUGCUUAACUUUACAGUAGUAUUGAAAUUUGGGAGCACAAAACACAAGUUGUUGUCCAUAUAUAUUAGAGAGAAGAUCCAUGCAUUUCGACAAAAUUUAGCUUGAUGGUAGCUUGCUUCAGCAAAGAGAAUAAGAUCACCUGCAAUAGAGGUUUGAGACAAAAAAAGGCCUAGAUCUAAAAGCUCGAACUGGUUUCCAGUGCACGACUUCCUUCCAUCCAUCUAAUAUAUAUGGACAAUCCCAUAUAUAUGGUUUCCAGUGCCGUUGGCUUUAUGGGAACAAUCCCAUCCAUCUGGAGGCAGCGCUCUGGUCUGCAAAUCCAUUUCGAGGGAGACCGAUUCGUGUUCCAAUUUGAUCGGGAAGCAAAUUGCAACAAGGUUCUCCACAGCGGACCUUGUAUUCCACAGCGGACCUUGUAUCUAUCAGAAUGCGAUGCUGGUGACGGCGCCGUACGACGGGAUCUCUACGGUGGUGAACCCUCCUCUUCAUUCCAUUGAGACAUGGGUCUCGAUCUUAGGGUUACAGCCUUUGCUACGCAACAACGCAACAAGAAAUCUCUUCAGUUGAUCGGACAAUCCAUUGGUAAGCUUAGUUCAUCGUUUUGAUAAUUUGGCUCUAAAUCACAAAGAUGAAAAACAAAAGAUUCGUCUAACUAUGGAUACGAGGCAGCGGUACAGAUUUUAUCGCAAUUAUUCUUUUGCUUCUGUUCAUGUUGAUGUUGAGAUCAUCUAUGAGAAAAUUCAAGGUCUUUGUAAGUUUUGUGGUCUUUUUGAGCAUGCUGUUGAGGGUUGUGACAAGCUUUUGUUGAGAGAAGAUGAAGCUUUGCAUGGACUCCCGGUUACAGCGAUGGAAGAACUGACUAUAGCAAAGCCUAAGCUGCUUAAUGGCGGCUUUCUAAGCAGUGAUGUUACACUGAGGGCUGAAAAACAUCUUAGCUAUGCAAUUGGCUGCAAAAGUGAAGGCCUUAAUGCCGGUACAAUUGCCUGAGAAACACUUGAUGGUGAAUGAUGAGUUGACUGCUAGGGUUCUCAAAGCUUGUAAGGCUGGAGGUUUUGUUGUUCCCCCACUUGUUGAGCAACAACAAUCUGCCAAACGAGGAAGAAAGAGGACAAUAGAGCGUCCUCUUGUUCAACCGGGGAAGAAGAUGCUUGAGGUGUCCACAGUUUUGAGUCCGGAAAUUGAAGACUUGAACUUGCGUCUUCCUAAUGAGUUGGGUCGGCUUUUCUGGUGACACCCCCAAAAGAAAAAGGGUGGGCGAUCAAGAGGGUCUACAAACAAGCUUAAGGAGGGUCCACCUCGCCCUACUCUAAAGGGUAGGAAGCGGUUGUUGAAGAUUCUCGAGGAUGAUAUGAUAGAGGAAGUAAAUCCUUCUACUGAUUCUACAGAAGCAAUAAUGGAAGUGGUUGGCAAAGAGGUAGCUCUACCACCAAAGACGAAGUCUCCGAGUGAAGUUGCUGCAGUGGAGAUGGAGAAGGCGGUAGUUGAAGUGGUGAAUUCCACUUCUAUUAUCACAUCUACUUGAUUGGGAGAUCGACAAGAAGAUAAGAAUUUUGAUGUCACAGUUUAUAACGCUUCGGAGUUUUUAAUCUUCUUGUUUUUGGUUUUAUCUUCGUAGAAGGUGAAUGUACUUGGAUUAGGUGUUUUGGUAUGUUUGUGUGAGGAUCGUACUAGGAUAGUUUUUUUGCAUAAUGGUUUUUCUGAUGGCCCUCUGGGUAGGUCAUUAUUAUACUGUUCGCUGAGCUUCAUUAAUGAAUGACCUCUACUUUAAAAAUAAUAUAUAUAUAUAUAUAUAUAUAUAUAUAUAUAUAUAUAUAUAUAAUGGCAUGGUUCGGACAAGAACUGUAUCCUUGAUGGUUGCAGUACAUGGUGAACCUCCAAAAUCUUUUGUCAAGGACAUGUACAAUUUUCAUUUCUUGGUAGCAGACUUCUCUAAUUUCAAAGUGAACGUGUAUUUGGAAAACAAAACUUUGAUGACGUUUGUAUAUCAGAGAGGUUAUUUAGUUGGAAAUCGCAAGACUCCAUGCUUGACGAAUGAAACCGUAUUUCAUUAGUUUGGCUUAAAAACAUUCCUCCUAGAGAAGUUGUUAAUACGAACAACAGAAAUUCUGCUAUAUACAAAAAUAGCUAACGAGCUGUUUUCAAAAAAAAAAAAAAAAAAAAGGAACUAAUGAGCUGAAGCUGGUAAAUUUAGGGUGGAGAAUCAAAACAGCAAAACCUUCUAUAGCUUCUAUCCGUUCGUGUAGUCUUUUUUUCUUCGAACCCUUCACUCCCAUAUCACAGCUACAUUAAAACCAACUAAACAAAUAAACCACUCUACCAUAUAUAAAUAUCUCCUCCCCUUCAUUCUAAUUUCAAUAUUAACAAAUCAUGGCUUCUCAAUACUGCUUUGUUUUGGUUAAUGCAAUAAUUCUUCUUUGCAGCUUGUGUCCGAACCUGAGUUCAGCAAAGGAAACAAAAGUCCUUGGCUUGAAAAUGAACGCAAUUGAUGGUUGCUGGAGAUGGAACCCAAACUGGAGAAGCAAUCGCCAGCAACUCGCUAUGUGUUCGGUAGGAUUUGCUGGAAAAAUGAGCAACAACAUUGGAAAAGAUGUUGUAAACUAUGAAGUAACAGACCCUAGUGACAAUGCGUUAAAUCCCCAACCAGGUACUUUGAGAUAUGGAGCUACUAUGAUCAAGGACAAAAAAUGGAUCACUUUCCAGAGGGACAUGAAAAUCAAACUAGAGAAACCAUUGCUAAUUAGUAGCUUCACUGCGAUUGAUGGAAGAGGUGUCAAUGUCCACAUAGCAGGUAACGCGUGCUUGAGAGUGUUCAAAGCAACCAAUGUGAUCAUCCAUGGUCUUCGAAUCCACCACUGCAAGUCGCAACCACCAAGUACCGUUAUGGGUCCGGACGGAAUAGUUUCGCUAGGCGGGGUUGAUGGAGACGCAAUACGGUUGGUCACUGCAUCUAAGGUUUGGAUAGACCACAAUACACUGUACGAGUGUGAAGAUGGUCUUCUUGAUGUCACUCGUGGAUCAACCAAUGUGACAAUCUCCAACAACUGGUUCAGAGACCAAGACAAGGUAAUGCUUCUCGGCCACGAUGAUGGCUUCUUUCGGGACAAGAAUAUGAAGGUGACUGUAGUAUAUAACCAUUUUGGACCACAUUGCAACCAAAGAAUGCCAAGGUAUGUAAUAACCAUUUCUUUGUUCAGUUAUAUCCAUGACUACUAGAGACAGGUUCUCUUUCCUAAGCACAAGGGGUCACAAUGUUUCAGGAUUCGCCAUGGAUACGCACACGUCGUAAACAACUUGUACAAGGAGUGGACACUGUAUGCCAUUGGCGGAAGCAUGAACCCUAGUGUUAAAAGCGAAGCCAACCUCUUCAUUGCAUCCCAGCAAAACAAAGAGGUAUGUUUUCAAGAAUUAAUCAGUGCAAGCCACAAGAUAUAUGUAAGAUAUGCAAUAAACUUUCCAAACUCUAAACAAACAAAUUCCACAGGUGACUUGGAGAAAGGACAUUGUUAGUGACUCCUGGAAAUUUUACUCCAAAGGCGAUAUUUUUGAAAACGGGGCGUCUUUCGUUCAAACAGGUCAAGGUGGAGCCGAGCCGCUCUAUAAUAAGGAACAGAAUUUCCAAGUUGUUGAUGCCAAAUCUGUCCGGCCAUUGACAAGGGCAUCAGGUGCUCUAACAUGCACCAAACAAUCCAGAUGCUAGUCAUAGGCUCAGGAAAAUACAGCAGAAAAAUGGAGCAUCAAUGGCAGCAACCAUCUUAGACUACAGAAAUUAAAUCACACCUAUUGUAAAAGUUUAUAACUAAAUUGUACCGACUUUCCUAAAGCAUUGUAUACAAUAAAAGCGGUUUGAGUAGUAAACUUCGUACUAAACCCAAGCAUACAAGAAUACUAUGUCAAGAAAGUGACUGCAAAAGAAAAAGAACAAAAAAAACUACACAAGAGCAUGACAUUCUUUUCUGACAUGAUCCCUUAAUGCGGAUUAGUGUCUGGGCCUCGACUAGAGUCAAAUGUCGAUUGCAUCUGGGAUUUGGCUCUAGUACAUUUUCCUCUUCCAACUAAACUAUAGUUUAUCAUGAUCUUCCAACAUUUGGAUAUCAAAAAGAGAGAAUGUGCUAGAUUCAUAAUGGGACUUCAUGAUAACUUACAUGUGAGGAUGUAUUAGAUCUGUGGCGGAGGGAGAAAUAUAUUUGCAUGGGGGCACAAUAAAACACACACAACGCACCAAACACAAAAUAAACGGUAUAAAUCAUUGGUUAAUGAACACAGUUUCUCUAAUUGAAUACAUUCUCUGCGUUUGCAAGCAGUGCACUCGAGCUAUUUCCAAUCAAUUAGAAAACCCUUUGAACCAGGGAGAUGUAAACCUUCAUUUUCGAACCAAACCGAUAAAAACAAAAUCAAUAAAAUAUGGGGCUCCUAAAAUAUUCCUAACACAUAAUAACUAAUCAAAUCGUAGUAAUAUAGGACAUUAGGACAUCAUAAUCUUGCAUUCUCUAAUCAUGAAUUCUUUAACAAAGUUUUCAAUUGGAAAUAUAUGAAAACAGAGAAGAAGAAAAACAGUAAAGCACCAUGAAUCACAAUAACAAGACAAUAUUGGUUUAUAUUCUUCAAAUUGAUCAUUCUAAAAUAAUACGAGAGAUUAUAGACGUAAGACAUUAUCGGUUGAUCUCAAAAACAUUAUUUUUUUGACAAAUGAACGCAGUAAUAUUGACAAUUGAGGUUGAAGACAUGAAUGCCAGCACACUGAUAUAGUGUUUGGCACACUGAAGACAUGAUACAGCAGGAGAAUGGCGUAUUAAUGGCAGCAGACAUCUCAUACAACAAAAGAUAAAUCACACCUACUGUAAAAGCUUACAACAAAAAUGUACCAACUUCGAAAAACAUUGUAUUCUAUAGUGGUCUUAGUAAACAAUGAGCUUUUGAACUAGUACCAAGCAUACAAUAAUACUAUGUAAAGACAAGUGAAAAGAAAAACAAAGGGUUCACAGGACCAUGCCUUUCUUUCUUUAAUCUUCGUCAUCAGAACAUGCAUAUGCUAAGCCUAACAAGCUUUGUGAAGUAGUUUCCACCUUAGACUCAUCAUCUGUUUUGAUCGAUGGUGAUGACAAAUGCGCUUUGUCCUUGUCCAGGUCAGAUUCAGGCUUAAGGUUUGUUGAAGUAGCACCAACAUUCUUUUGGGGGAGGGACAACUGAUUACCAUUAGAUGGACUUGCAACUUUCUGCUUUUUCGGUUUAAUUUCUACCACCUUUUUCAGUAGAUCUUGUUGUCUGCAGCACAAAACACAAUACAUUAAACAUGUAUUUUAACAAAGACAACUCAAUGGGAUCCUCAGAGAGUUGCUAUAUAUAAGAUGCUAAUGCUAUUAUUUGGUUUCAAGAUAGAUCUAUACCUAAUCCCACUUUUUUGUUUGGGCUCUACACGAAGUGUCAAGGGAGCCGAUACAGGUGAAGAAUCUGCCAAACUUGCAGCUUUGUGUGCAUUGGUUAAGUAAACUAAGAUAGAAGAGGGAGAAUAAACAUAAACCUCAAAAACAUGCAUCAAGGAUUCAACAUAGACAGAAAUGUGCAAUCUUGCAUUCUUUUGCAAAUAAACCUCAAUACCAGCAGGAUGUCUGCUAAUGAUAAGAAACAGUAUUACCAUUCAACACACAACUUUUACGGCAAAAGACUGUCAUAACUCAUGACAUCAGGACAGCAGCAAGGGAAAGAUACCACCAAGCUUAAAAAUGAUCAACAUAUUUUAAUAAUUUAUGCCCUCCAGCACAAACUUCGGAUACCGCAAUAUGGAAAUAAAACUGGCAGUUGCCACAGAGAUAGAGUAAAACUAUUAGAUGAAAAGAAAAACAAAACAUGUAGUAAGGGAAAGGGGGAAAGCAAUCAUAAUGGGUUCCUCAAUUUCUAUUAUCAGCCAUCACAGUACUCAACUAAAACAUAAAACACCUCAUGGUAAAUACAAUUCACAACAUGUUGAUUUACUCUGAAAAAAUAUCAAAACAAGCCUACAUUUUUUUUAGUCGGUGGGCCACCGGCAAAGAAAAUGGUAUACUCGUUUCAGAUGUCCAACGUUAUCAGCACUACCUAUGUGAGUACUCAGUAUGACUGUAGUCAGAUGGCACAUGACAAUUUAAAUUAAAGAAAGAGGAUCACAUACAAGAACCAUAUCAAUACAUCAAGUUUGACAGAAAAAAUGCUUGUUACCAGCUACUAAGUGCAUGCCACGACAAUAAAAGCAAUUUCAUUAAAGGAUAUCUUAAAUGCAGCAAAUGCUCGUUUCUCAGUGCGGCGAAGGAGGCGUUCUGCAUCCUCCUCAGCUUCCAUCUGCUCCUUGAGAUAUAAUAGGUCAUCACUGUCCAAGGCUGUAUACUCAAACUUACACAGAUGGCAACAAAGUAAAGAGCUAAAUAAAAAUAAACUUAAAGUGGUGGACUUGUGCAUGACUCAAAUGCACACUUAGAAACAAAGAGAGAUAGUAAAAGCAAUAGCUGCAUUCCUUGAAUGCAUACUUGGUCUCAACGCACCCAUGGGGCACCACGAAAAAAAAAAAAAAAAAAGCAGAGAGAAAGAGAGAGAUAUACCGCCUCGGCCAUGAAGGUAGCCUCCACGUUCUCCAGCAACCUCUUGCAUCUGCAUGCAUCAACCAUCCAGUAGAAGAAGCCAGGAUCCCUGUCAGGGCAUGUUAUCAGAAAUCUCCCCUCUCAAGCAAAUAUACAUUCAAAGAUGCAAGUGAGGUAGAAACCACACCAUAUCAUCAACAAUCCAACUACUUCCAACGUCAUAAUAAAUCUUCAAUUACGACACUCAUUCUAACUAACUUCACCAGCCAAAUUGAAAAACGUACGCUAUAAGAAUUCACAGUACUGAGCACUGAUCAAAUAUACCAAAACACAUUUCAUGGAAUGGCACUAAAACAGUUCAAAUCAUAGAGAAAUUGGUUUCUGUUAUGUUGAUUACUAAUACAAUAAUAGUAUGGAAGUGUCAAUGCUAAUCGAAUUCACUGCCUAUCUAUUCUUGUUAUUUUAGACUCAGCCCAGAAUAGAAUCCGACCCAAUUUAAUACUUAGAGACAAAUCAGUUCAUACUUCAGAGUACCCAUACAGAUGAACAUUAUAUAAUUCUGUAUUUUCAACUUGAAUAGGAAAAAAGUGAGAGAGAAAACAAUGCGCUAACCUUUGCGACCAUGCGUUGGAAGGUGACGUCUUCGUCGUCUAUCUUAUCCUUCCCUUUCCCCCAUUUUUUAUCUGCCAAAAUCGAUUCAGAGAAGCAUCAAUUUUGAUUCUCAUCGUAACAAAAACCCGACGAAAAGAAAGAAAAAGAAGAUACCUUUGGGGUCGGUGAGAUUGGUGUAUUCUCGAACUUCUCUGCCUGCCAUUGUGGGAUUGCGAAAGGUGUGAUAUGAUUUCAGGUGCAAACCCAAUCUGAGACUCUCUCACAGAGGUGUGGGAUUUUUCGAGUUAGGGAACCAAGAUUUCUGACGAUCCCGUUUAAAAUAUAUAUUGGAUCGUCGGAAAUCUAUACGUAAGGAGCCUUCUGACCAUGAUAAGUCGAGGACUAGGCGAGGAUUUCUCGGUUUUAUCUUAUUUUUUAAUUUUAUAUCUAUAUCUUAACUAUUCAGAUCAGUAUUCAUGAGCGGAUCAUUUCUACUAAUUUUCAGUCAUAUUGAAAAUCGUUAAGCAUAAAUGUAAUUUACUAAUUAUGAACUUGAACGAUUCAUAUUUGACAGAUUUAGUUCAUUAAUUAAUUUAAUCUAGUUUGUUACCUUAACGCUCAUCGAUUAUGCUAAAAAAUUAUAGGAAUGAUCUAAUCAUAUAGACCUAAAAAAUGAAUGGAUGAGAUGCCAAGAUGUGAUCGAAAAAUAUGUCUUUUAAACCAUAAACCGAAAAGUCAUCUACAAAUCCUCAUUAUAGAGGUCCUCACUAGAAAUGCUCCCUCUAUAUGUACAGGCAAAAAAAUAAAUACCACCACUAUAUAUAUAUAUAGAGGCCCGAUCAGAGGCGGACGUCCUCACCAGGCUUAAAGUGUGGACGUCCCUCCGUUCUCCAUCCUCCAGCGCCGACGACGGCGCGCCUCCACCCUAGAAGACUCCAGCAGCGUCUCCGACCACUUUCCCUCCCCGGUGAGUCCGUUCUUUUCCAGUUUUCCGGCGAGAUCACCAAAAACUUCAAACAAGAUCAAUCUCGCCGAAAAACUGGAAAAGAAUGGACUCGCUGGUGAGGGAAAGUGGUCGAGGACGCUGCUGGAGUCUUCUAGGGUAGAGGCGCGCCGUCGUCGGCGCUGGAGGGUGGAGAAUGGAGGGACGUCCGCACUUUAAGGAUCGUGCGGACGUCCGCCUCUGAAUGGGUAUAUAUAUAUAUAUAUACAGUUCUUAUCUAAAGCGAAACUUCACUUUGAAAUUAAAGUGUGAAGUUUCUUAUUUGACUCAUUUUUCGGUCAUAUUUCCACAUCUCCACUGUUCAGUUUGUAGAACCUAAUGCAUAGAUCAUUUUUGCCAAGUUUCAUUGAAUUUGAUGAUCAUUUGGGUUUUGUCAGUGAGCCGUGGUUUGGUUGGUUAAGGUGUUACCUGACAACUUUGAGGUCACGGGUUCAAACCUCAUGGACAUAUGUAGGGUGUGUGAGUUAUUAAUAUAAAAACGUUUUAAAAAAAAAUGAUCAUUUGAGUUUUCAUAAUCGUUAUUUACACAAACAGUUCUGAAUAGACAGAUUUAUGGUCUGUUCAUUGAUUUAAUCUAAUUCGGUAUCUUAAUGACUACCAAUUUGAAUGAAACUUGACAUAAGUGAUCUAUGCAUUAGGUUCUACAAAUUAAACGGUGGAGAUGUGGAAAUAUGAACGAAAAGUGAGUCAAAUAAGGAACUUCACAUUUUAAUUUUCAAAGUGAAGCUUCGCUCUGGAUAGGAACUGUAUAUAUAUAUAUAUACACACUAUGAAGGGAACGUUUGCAUCGAAGAAAAAGUGUGGACGUCCCUCCAUUCUCCUCCGUCCGGCGCCGACAACGGCGCUCCUCCACCCGAGCGGACACCAGCGGCAUCCCCGAUCACUUUCUCUUCCCAGCGAGUCCGUCGAAUUCCAGUUUGCCGGCGAGAUUGACAUUGUCUGAAGUUUUGGGUGGAGGUUACUGCCUAGACCUUCAAAUCGAUCUUGCCGGCAAACUGGAAUUCGGCGGACUUGUCGGGAAGAGAAAGUGAUCAGGGAUGCCUCUGGUGUUCGCUCAGGUGGAGGCGCGCCGUCGUCGGUGUCGGACGAAGGAGAACGGAAGGACGUCCGAACUUUUUCUUCUGUACGGAUGUCCGCUUCAUAUCGUUUUCGUGUGUGUGUGUGUGUAUAUAUUUCAUCUUCAGAGUGUGACACCACUCUGAAAUUAAAGUAUGGUGCUCCUCAUUUGGCUCAAUUUUAUGUCAUAUUUUCACAUCUCCACCGUUCAGUGUCUAGAACAUAGUGUGUGAUCAUUCCUGCGAAGUUUCAUCCAAUUUAGAGAUCAUUUAAGCUUCCGUAAUUGUGANNNNNNNNNNNNNNNNNNNNCUUUUUUUAUUUAAAUAACUCACACACCCUACAUAUGUCAAUGAGAUUUCGAACCCAUGACCUACAAAGUUGUUAGUUAACACCUUAACCAACCAGACCACGGCUCACCGACAAUAAAUAAGAUGAAGUUCUCUAUUCUCUUUGUUGUUUCCUUAGAGGGCCUCGUCUACCCAUUUCAAAGGGCUAAAGCUAAUUUGUAAUCCAAAAAAAAAUACAAAAUAAUGAAAAAGUAAAAGUGACCGAGAUGCGAGGGAAAAACAUUUUUCGGCUGCUCAUAUCCCACACACGUGGUCUAUUCACUAGGAAAGGGGUCGAGCUGACUGAUGAGUGCUUUUUUAGUCUUUAUAAAAAGGCACUCAUCUGAUGUGGGGAUAACAUGGGUGGAUACGUACAAGUAUAGCCAAAUCAAGAUGAGGCAGGAUGGACAGUAAGAGGCCGCAGCGGGACUACCAUAUGAAAGAUAUUUUUAAUAAUUCACUCAAUAACACGUUAUCAGCACGCUCUUGAGCUGAUAACACCACCACAAAUUAAACCCGUCCCUUUUUUUUUUCUUUUUUUUUUUCUUAAAAAAGCCCCUGGCCCCUCGCCUCCAUUGUCGACCAUCUCCAGCCGUUGCUCCCCGGCGCCAUCCGACCAUCUCCGGCUUUUUCAUUCAAGAUCUGAAGAUUCGAAAGGUACGUUUAAGCGUGAAUUUUUAAAUUCAAAUAACUCGGGGGUGGGGGUGAGGGGGAUAAAGUGUUUUCCUCCCUUCUCCAUCUCCAUUCCCUUGCUUGGAUUUGUGUAUUUGCAGGAAAAUCCCAGAACUAAGAGCGUUCCUAGGUCCAGGUUGUGUUGUAUUAACCUCGACACUAUUUCGGGUUGUGUUGUAUUAACCAUGGUACUAUUUCAGGAUUGUGUAGUAUCAAUCCUAUGGACAAACACAAUUAAGCAUAGAAAUUAGUGAUCGUAUUCGGGUCUCAAAUGAAGUGCUUGAAUUUUUUUCAAUUCGUAUCAGUUUUUCAGAUUUCAUGAGGUUGUUCCAUAAUCUUUAGCGGAUUCGAUCAUCAUCAAUUUCUCUAGGCCCUCUAAUUUGGUUUAUGUUCAUGUCAGGGAGAUUACUAACUAGUCAUGGAGUUUAUUCAUACUAAUGCAAUGGGAAUUGCAUACACGCUGAUGUUCAAAACACCCUCUCAACCCCACUUGUGGAGAUCCAGUAUCAUGUUGUAUCAAUCCAUGAUUGUGUUGUAUCAAUCCGAAUGAUAACCAUUGUUGAUGUUAAAGUAUUUUCACAACAAAGGAUUGAAUUAAGUGACCAUAAUGUAUCAUGGUCUUGAUUUAAAUGCUCAGAAUUAGUAGCGUAUAUUUAUACUAAUAUUGGAUUUAAACAUCGUAAUUUUCUUUUUGAGUUGGCUUCCAACUUAUUUGUCCAAAAUAAUUUUGACAACAUGGAUUCAUAAGGAAUGUCAUAUGGGUUGUCUACGUGAACUUUCAUUGGAAAGUGAUACACCACUAAUAUUGACCCCAAGGCUAACAAGCCUAGAUUCUGAAAUUUAAAAUCUCUCGCGCUCAAACUUUUAAGACAUCAUAUCGACAAAAGUCUUUAAAGGCCAUAUGUGCAAAAGUAAUGCCCACGAAAUACUAUGAAAUACACUAAUGGACCGUUUAUUGAAACGUUCAUAUAUAUAACUCUACUUGUUGAGUUACUAAUCAAGUGGAAUGUUUACCACUUAUUUGACUACAUAUCGUUGAUGAUAUUUCGUGGCAUCAUUAUCCAAAGACUCCUAAAGAAAGAGGGCAUAGAUGUAUUUAGCAUAUGCGCGCACAUGAAAAAAUCUCUGAGUGUGGUGAAUGCAUGGGUCACGACACAUUACCCUAGAGGUCAUGCUAAUGUGUAGACGUGAGAGGGAGGCGAAGUUGGUCCUUGUGGCUACUCUCCCAAGACUCGACACCCAAAAGUCAAAACGGAUAAAGCUAUAAAUGAACCAUGUUAUCGACAUAGACAUAGCACUCGUUUAGAAAAUUGCUAUGAACAAAUAUUUUCAUGAGCAUCCCAAAGAAAAUAGAAAUAGCUCUAAUGUUGCAAUUUCUUGAGCAUUGAAAAAUAAUGGCCAUGAUAAAAGGAAGAUCAAGAGCCUUUUAAAGACCUCGAUAUGCUGUUGGUACAAUUUCGAAGAAUUUCUCUAAAUAGUGAAAAUUUUCGAGUAUUGUUUAUUCUAUGGUUCGAAUCUAUACAUAACAAUGUAUAAUAUCCUUAGAAAAUGACAUAAAUCACAAUCCAAAUGGUGGAUUGCACCAUUUUUGGUCUCUCCCAAGGGGAGGAUACGCACGGUAAUGCAUCCUCAAGGAGGAUGUGCCGUGUUUUUGGUUAAGUCUUCUAAUUAUAGCGGAUUUUUCAUCAUCAAUUCAAUUGUUCAACCAGGCUCAUCCAAACUCAGUGUGAUGUUUUAGAAUUGUCCAAAAUUAAGGAGAUAAUGGUAUCAAGUGUGCCUCACACUACCGACCCUCCACGGACAUGUUUAGUUAUACUGAAUUAGAGUUACCAAAAGCUUUUGAUUUUGGAUCCCCUUACGCUAUUUGAACAUUGUCGUCUUUUCAUAAGACGUUAAAGACUUCAAAUACCACAUUAUUGAUGAGGAAUCAUGAGCUUUGCACAUUGCAAACUGCGAAACCAGAAAAAUUGUUUUGUGGGCAAUCAACUUCUUAUGAGCUUUGUGAUCAUCUCCGGAUGAACUACAAUGCUUGUUUUAUAUGGUUGGAAAGCUCAUUUGAGUCUAGUUUCCAAAUCAUCUCACGGUUCAUCCAUAUCUAUAUUUUAACGAAUAAGUUAUGACUGUUUUAGUGCACCAAGGUUAAGAUGCACGGGAAAAUUUUGCACUCUCGGGAUUGUAGUGUGUUUUCAAUCCUUCUAAAUGGUUCAAGUGAAACUAUUUCCUCAUAUAUCUACUCUCUUUUAGUAGGUAUGUCUCGCGGAGACAUUGAGUGCCUCGUAGUUAGUGGAACUACCCACAUGAUUCUAAGGAACCGACAACUAAUUUUGGAUUUAAUGCGUUAUAAAUAUUUUGUGACUGCGAUAAUUGGAUCAUCACCAGUCAUUCAUAGACACUGUUAAAUCGAUUUAUGCUGCUUCAUGGCACCAUGAUCAAUGUCACAUAUGUCCUCUAUGUAUUGAGAGGUAAUCAAACAUUGUUAUGUUCUAAGAACAUACACAUCAACAGUUACCAUAUGAAACUCAUUGUGAGAGUGGAAGAAACUUUUGUGAAAACUUCUCAUGAGUGCGAAUGAAAGCGCAUCAUUGAGAGACACAUGAGUCAAUCUAGCGGACUGUAUGUCACUACGAUUUGAAUAUCAAAUCCUAUGUUGUCGCCAAUAAAGCUAUUUUAGGACAUCAACUCAUACAAGUUGACAUGAUCUUUUAUGUCAUCCUGGAAGAGAUAUGAUGAUCCGAAUUUUACGAAAUUCUCAUGGACAUCUUUUCUUCCAAUCAAAACGAAAACAUUUGGGAAAUAGCAUCACCAUAAGGCAUGGUGGUGACACCACGGUGGUAAGUGGCGGCCCAAAGAGGACAUUGACGUCCCCCAGACUCGCGAUUGGCUCUAAUUUCCUGGAGACCACACGGCAGAACCCUCAAGCAAUUAAGGCGAGUCGACCUUCCCUUGAUGUUUCAUUGGCUCUUUCCAAUGCUCAUCGUUCGUUUUGCAAAGUUUGCUCUCUAGCCACAAUAGUGAAACCCUCUUACGUUAAUGACAUAAAAGAGAACAUUACAUUCUUACAACAAAUCCAAAAGGGAUUAUGUAGACAGAUACAACCAACUUACGGACAUAUUUUAUGUCAUAUUAUGUUGGUUGUAGCGUUAACACACUAGUCACUUGUUACACAAUUGCCUACUACGUAUUUAUGUUGCUUAUACUUCUAUGAGCUCCCUAGCUAUUCUUAAAGAAGUUUUUCAUCAAAUGGUUGAUAACUAUGACAUAUUAACGGGUAUUGAUAUUGAUAACCUAUUUGGUCUCCCAGACAACGACUACGAUAAUAGUCUUGAGAUUGAUAGAUGUGUACAAUACUUCCAUUCAGGGUUAUAUAUCGCAUGCAACGUUACUAAAUUCAUCUAUGACAUACCAUCAUUGAAUUUUUAUUACACUACAACUCGUGACUGUAUGAGAUGAUUGACUUGGCAUUGCAAUCCUUGAGCUCGGCAGGAUUGAAACGGAUCUCCAAUCUUUGAGCUCGGCUAGAUGUUGUUUCUAGGUGUCAAAUUGCACUACCCACAGUGGACAAUGAUGGGUCCUCUAAGAUGAAUAAGUAUUUAGGUAUUGGGUAUAACCUCCACCUAUAGUCCGCUUAUGAAGAGUCCUUGACAGACGAUUUCUUUUACCGUUAUAUUUGUUGAUUGUCACUUUGAUGAGACAAUAUUCAUGCCGUUAUGGGGAGAUAAGAACACAAGUGUUCAAGUGUAACGACGUGGAUUGUCGUGGUUUGUCCCUACUAAGUCUCAUCUUGAUCCUCAAAUCUUUCGCACAAAACAAAGUGACCAAAAGAAGUUAAUCUUGGCGCCAUCACCAUGGAUGGUAAUAUGGUGUUGCCAUACAGUGGCAAACAUGGUGUCACAAGCCGUGUGGCUCCCCAAAGGAAGGAAGGAGGCUAUUAGGUUCGAUACUUACUCACCCAAGGAUGAGAGCGAGCUUGGCACAACCAAAUCUAUCGAUCCGUGAUAUUGAAAUCCUUCUCAUAGAGUCUGAAUUGUAAUUAUCGUUGGAGGACGCCUCAGUGUGUCAAAUCCAAUCCAGAUAGAGAUCUCUACAAAUAUUAAUUACAAUAGUGUACAUGAGGACGUGAAAUAAUGGGUCUUUGAACCACAUAUAUAUAUUGUCUUAAGUAGUCCUCAACUUAUGGUCCUCAUUAGAACCACACUCUUGGACCCACAACGUUUUAGUUCAGAUGAUUUGUCUGAAAAUUUUGUUUCUUUUUAGAUUGAGCUGAGACAAAAUUGAUAAAACAAAAUGAAGAGAAUUUUCCCAAUUAUAUUCUCAGUUGGGUGAAAAAUUUGAGAAACCAAACAACUGCUGCUCUCAAAUUUUGAACAGAAAUAGCAACAAAGGAAUCCCUUGACUCUGAAGAAAAUGAAGCCCGAAAUUGAACCUUUUCCUCCAUAGUAAAUACUAUAUAGCCAUAUACAUCCUCUUACUUCUAUAUCUUUCAAUCCAAGUAACCACUUUUGCUUCUAUCAAUCUACAGAAAAAUAAAAUGUCAUGGUCAUGUAAAAGGAAAGACUUACGAGACCAGGAAACUAUGCAAAUCUUUACAAUUAAUUAGGGCAGGAGCCGAUCACAAGGCCUAAGCAAAUACCUUGCUUUUGUAAAUCUCAAUAGCUUUACGUCUCAUAGCAUCCUUGUUCUCAUUUAUCUUCUUCUGCAUAACAAGCUUUUGCAGCUUCUCUUCAUGACUCUCCAUCCCACAAAAUUGCUCAACUUGAGCAAGAGUCACAUUUUCCUUGUGCCCAAGAGAGAUGAUUUCAUCAAAAGAAAAAAUCAGCUCGAAAGCUUUUUUGCAGAUUCCUUCUUCAUCUAGCGAACAUGAAUUUUCAAGUACCUAUAGAAAAUUUGAGGAAUAAGAUCCAUGAUUUUACUUUUCCAGCAUUUUUGAUACACACAUUUCAAAAACAAAGGAUACAAUUCGCGUAGAAAAACAACUUAUGGCCCAAAGUUUACCUGAAAGACCUUAGAUUUAGUUCAGAAAUAUGGAAACAGAAGAUUUAGCAUUUUUGAUAUGCAGUAUGUCGUAAAUUUAAUUUGCAUGAAAACCACCUCUACAUACAAAAUGAGAGGACCUCAUCGAAAAAAAAAAAAAUACAAAUUGAGGAUUUAGAAACUGUCAACAAACUUUCCUUCAAAUUCCAGCUUGUCUGCAUUUUUUGUUUUUUGUUUUUAUUACUUUUAACACUAAUUUACUUCUUUUCCUCAUAUCAUCAUGCAAGUUUCGAAAAAGGCAAUUGACAAGUGACAUAUGAAUCAUAAUGUGUGAUAUAGGAUCGAUCACAAUUCACAAAAAGCAGCCAUGAAUACAUGAAAAAUGAGGCAAUGCAGAUCAAUGCAAACAUUUUAUCACAAUUACAGUACUAGAAUCAUCAGGUCAUUAUUGUGCAAGAACAGCAUGAUUGAUGGAUUCAAGAAGUUAACUAAAUGGUCAAACAAGAAUGAAGAUAACCAUGGCCAAUGUAAAAAAGAUACAACCUUAGAGAGUAGCCUUAACGUGUCCAAGUCUUCACAAAUAUUGCUGUGCUUGUUUGUAACAAGUACCAAGUAUGUUGCUUCUACAGGCUGGUAAACAAAGCGAACAUUUUCUGUCUCAAAAUAUGUAUGUUGUUUUUCAGUAGUGCCUAGUAACUUGGGAAAAGCCACAAGAAGACCCUCAAUUCUUGUUCGAGGCAUAUCCGAAAACUGUCGAGAAACAAGCACUACAAGACAAAUUUUUUUUUUUUUUAAACGAUUUACUGACUACCAAACUGAAUCAAUGAUAAGAAUGAAAUAUAUGGUUAGCGCAGCUGUGCAUGUAUCCCAAAAGUACUAUAUGCAAUUUCUCAGUAAAACAGAAAAUAACAAGUAAAUGAAACAACUAUGGUGCAUAUAUGAGAAAAGUAUCCCUCAUAGUGCAUUACGUACUCCCUCUAACAUUCUAGUAACAACUUAGGAGUUGGAGACUGUAAUGGUAGUAAUCUCGAGGAAGAAACAUCAUAUUACACUCAUGAACAAGUGCUAAUUUUUGACCUGCCUCCACAUAUAUGUUUCGGAUAGGUUUAAAUUUUAUCACUUCUCAUUUAUAGUCAUCAUCAGCAAUCUACAACGCAUUAGUUUUCCUAUAGUGCACUUAACGUAUAGACAUAAAAGGGCAAGAAUGAAUCGAUCUUUUCAAUAGUUAGCUAGUCACAUAAUCAAAAGAAAAGGAAUGCACAGAACUCACCUUUCCCGGCCUUGGUUACAACUGAAGCAGCCAAAACAACCUGGAUUACAAAUAAAUGAAAGGGCAUGCAAGAUGAGAAAACAAAAGCUUAUAUUAAAUAAAUAAAUAGAACUUGAUAUAUAUUUAGCGGCUGCGCGCAUCUUCUAUUGAAGUUGCAUUCAAAGUUGUUUCCCAUGGCGGAUUGUACGUGAAGUGUUUGAAUAUUUACAUACUCAUCAGUGAACUGGAAGAAUUUAUUCACCUACAACACUCAAAAAUUCAAUCUAAAGUUAAGAGAAAGGGAAGUUGAUGGUUUUACCAUGUCGAAUCGAUCACUUGGUGAUAAAGCACACGAAUAGAUGGAGCACCUUACAAAUAAAAAGGUGUGAGGCAUGAGCACCAAGUUACAAAAUUUCUAAGCUUGCGAUACUCAAAUCACAGAUUAUAAUGGAAGCACAAUGAUAUGAUGAAACUAAUUAAAUGAUCGAUCAUCACUACAAUAACAGAGAGAAAACUUAAGAUCCAUGACGUGAACGGGAAAGGAAGAUGAUGGAGGAGAAAGAAGACUCACAGGACUACGAGGGUUUGAAGCUGGUGCGUCGAAUCAUCAGUUCUCUGACUUCACUCAUAUAUAUAUAAUAUAUAUAUAUAUAUAUAUAUAUAGAGAGAGAGAGAGAGAGAUGCUCUUCAGGUCGAUCCCUUUCCAGCAAGGAGAGGGUAUAGGAAUCAAUGCUUAAUACUCCUAUUUCCUUAUGGAAAAGGAAUCCGGGAACAAUAAGCAAAAGGAGAUUUUGGCUCUUAUAGAGAUGAGGUUGGAAGCCUCGUGCAUUAUGCUAAGUUGUACGUACUGAUCGAGUCUCUCUAUACAGGUUCAGCUGCUUGACAAAGUAGAAGUAAUCUCAUUCGCUAGCUAGGUACUUGCCUUCAAAUUGAAGGCUAGCCUACCUUCAUUUGUGGAUGAAAGCAAAGACAUUUUAAAGACAUGAUUGUACUGAUCCCUUCCGAAAAUUCACGGGACAAAUUGUACAAUAUGUUUCUCACGGCGUACGUAUUUACCUAGUGCAAGGAAUCUCAAGAAGAAUUCAAGAACUUGGUUCCUAGGAAUACGAGUUCCUAAACAUAUAUUGAAGCAAUGCCCUGAUCAUGAUGAUCUGAAUUUGAAUGAGCGUCACUUGCUUUUACAAUGGAAUGCGUGAUAUUUAUGGACAAGAAGUAUAUUUAUGAUCUGAGUGUUUUAACGAUUAUUAAAUUAGCUGAAAAUUUGUAGAGAUGAUCUACAUGUUAGUACCUAAAGACUAGACGGUGGAGAUAUAAAAAUUCGAUUAAAAAGUGAGUCUAAAAUAAAAAUCUGCACCAUAAGAAUAAAUAAAGAUGUCCUUACUUGAGAAAAUCUAUUAUUAUUUUUUUGAAUCCAAGGGCUAGAAUGGCAGCCCGGCCUCACGUCAUAACCAUUUACAAAACCUCAUAAUACAAGAGGGGGGACAUUGUGCCUAAACCCCAUACUGUGAACCCUCUUAGUCUUUGGUUUCUUCAACAAGCUCACAUCAUAACUCAACUUAUGCAAUUCAAGCAUUUUAUGAGGCAUUAUUUUAUCAUCAAUAUGAUCAUUAAUUAAUUAAUAGCAACUUAUUGACGUACUACUCUGGUUUAAGGCGGUGAUUGACGUAGUGAGUUGCUUGAUUGCUUCUUCAUGCUUCCUAACUUGUUUGGUGACGACCUAGGUAAUCGAACUAUUCUUGGAAUUCUCAUAGUUAGAUUUAUGGUUGUAACUUGUGAAAGACCCUCUUACUCUUAUGUGGCUCGUAGUACUUGGUUUGCACCUUGUCACCAAACUUGUAAUCGGACUUUGCCUUUUUAUAUAUCUUUCUUAAUGCACUAACUCUAAGUUCGAUAUGGACUUUGCUCAUUGGUCAUUGAAUCAUUGGCUUUAGGGAAAAAUGCUCAUUUAGUACUAAUUUGAACCCCUCAUUCUCCAUUCCAAUGACAAUCUUUUUCAUUAGCCCAUUCCAAUAUAAGGUAACCUUUUUUAUGCCCAAAUGCACAAAUCUUUACUAAAGUCUUAAUAAACCAUAUUAUUUUAAGACUAUUUUGCCCUCAUCCUUUAAACAUGCAUAGAGAGAGAAAAUGAAAGAGAGAAUACUUGGUCGGAAUCUCACCGGACUCCGACUCCGGCCACCGGCCGCCGGACUCCGGUCACCGGAAUGUUCCCGACCGUCGGACUUCGGUCACCGGAAUUUUCCCGACCGCCGGACUCCGGUCACCGGAAUUUUAACCAGUUACUAACCAGUUAACGACCCCUAAUAACCAGUUAUUAACCCCCAGUAAUCAGUUACUGACAACCAGUAACUAGUUACUGACACCCAGUAACCAGUUACUAACACACAAUAACCAGUUACUGACCAGUUAACGACCCCUGAUAACCAGUUAUUAACCCCCAGUAAUCAGUUAUUGACACCCAGUAAUCAGUUACUGACCAGUUACUGACACCCAGUAACCAGAUACUGACCAGUUACUGACACCUAAUAACCAAUUACUGACCCCUAGUAAUCGGUUACUGACCAGUUAUUGACACCUAGUAACCAGUUACUGACCCCCAGUAAUCACUUUGUUUUCAGUUACUGACACCUUGUAAAACACCUAAUAAUCAUUUUGUUUUCAGUUACUGACACCUAGUAAUCACCCAAUAAUCAUGUUGUUUUCAGUUACUGACCAGUUACUGACACCCAGUAACCAGUUACUGACCUUAAUAAUCGAGUUACUGACCAUAAUAUUCAAAUGUAAGGAUAAAAAAUAAAAAUAAAAAAAUUAACUGACUUGAUCUGGGCACCCAGUUUCUUCUCUGGGCACCCACCUUCACCGAAGAGAAGGAGUUGCAGUCCCCGGCGGCCUCCUCCACCGAAGAGAACAAGUCGCAGUCCCCGACGGCCUCCUCCACCGAAGAGAACGAGAACACCGGCCUCCUCCACUGACCUCGGCGCACGCCGGCAAGCAAGGCCCUUCCCCAGCCACGAUCCAGCCAAGUCGAACUCCAACCAAGCCCCGAGCGCACCCCGGCAACACCAUCAUCGAUCUCGGCACGAACCCAGCCCAUCCUCGACGCACUCAUGCCCAGUCUAAACGGAGACGGAAGAUGAGCGAGAACCGGACUAGCUCGUCGGCGCAAGAGGACGGCGGCGAAUCUCCGACUGACUUGGCCGCACGGAGAGAGAGAGAGAGAGAGAGAGAGAGAGAACGNNNNNNNNNNNNNNNNNNNNNNNNNNNNNNNNNNNNNNNNNNNNNNNNNNNNNNNNNNNNNNNNNNNNNNNNNNNNNNNNNNNNNNNNNNNNNNNNNNNNNNNNGUUACAGGGUAAUAUUGUCUUUUUCUCAAGAAUCAUUGGAAUGAGCAUAAGGAUAAGACUUUAAUUGGAAUGGGUUUUAAUUUUCAAAUAUUUGGGCAUUAGGGCAUUUUCCCAUUAAAGAAUCCUUUAUAUGAUCAUACGUGGUAUAUAUAUACGUACAACCCUCUUUGUUUAGGGCAUUUGUGAAGUUUUUUCCUGCAUCACGAAUUUCUAGUUCCCUUUUUCUACUUGGACACAGAUUCUCAUCCUUUUUGUAUGUUGUAUUAGGGACAUUUAUUAGGGACAUUGAAGUAUUGUAAAGGAUUUUAAUCCAUGUUCAUAUAUUAAAGUUUUAUGGAAGCCAAAGUUACAAAAACUAAGAACUCUGGAUAUAUAUACCACGUAAAAAUUGAUGACUACACGUAAAUGAUAAGAACACAUUAAACCUGAGUCGAUUGACUCCGAGCUCAACUUGAAAUCCAGUCUGCAUCAUAUCGGGUAUUGCAUAUUAGAAGACCUCUUCAAUUGCAUGCUUGGAAUAUAAUUUCUGGAUGAUCUUCGAAGAUCAUUAAUCUCACGAAAAGGAACAGAGUUCAAGUUCGAAUUCACCAUGGGAUGAUGAUCAAGUGCACCACUUUUGCUGCUUUUCCUCGAUAGUGAAUCAAUCCUCUUUGUUGAAGCUUCUAGCUUUGCAUCCAAGGAAGCCACCAGUCUAAUCAGUUCUUUCUCAGUACAGUAAUCUAAUCUAUCAUCCCAUGUCGGGUACAACAUCUCCCUAGAUGACUUUCGAGCCCUAGAUUCUUUCAAACCCUUUAUCCAAUGACCACCAUCUGACUCUCGAGCCCUAGAUUCUUUCAAACCCUUUAUCUCAGAUGAAGGAAGGCUAGCAUCUCUGAUUGCUGGGUUUGCCUUGUACCCAGCAACAAUGCGUUUGACUUGUUCAGGAUCUUGGGGCCAAGUCUCUGCUAUAUUGCUUUGACGUUGGUAGAGGAUCAAGCAUACAUCAACACCACAAAGUUUCGAAAGCUCCUCGGCUUUCUUGAACACAUUCUUCUUUCGAUCCCGAACCUUUUUACGAUCACUCUUGCUUGACGAUAAUUGUUGUUUGUUUCGUUGAGGGUCCAUAUUUCUGAAAGUCAUAUCUGUUGAACGAAACCCUAAAUAUAUUACAGAAAAACAAGGAAAUUAGAGGUUUCAUAGGACAUAAAUUACUAUUGUGUAAAGACUUGUACUGCCGAUCAAAUUUGUUUCUUCGAUCGAUCUACUCAGAAACCCUAAUAAACUAUAACUGGAAACUUCUGCGCGCAUCCACAACAAGCCUAGAACAUAACUAUUUUCACUCAACAACACACACAACAACAUCGAUAUAAUAUUCACACUACAACAAAGAAAGAAAGAAAAAUCAGAAACAGAAAAUAUGUACCUUUUUUUUUUGGUUCGAAAGAAAAUAUGUACCUUGCUUAGUCGAACUUUGACAUGCAGCUUCUUGAUCUCAAUCGCUACCUCUUGGCUUUAUAGAACAGAGAUGGAUCACUAUUUUGGAAAGUUAUUAUUAAGAUGAACUUUUUUAUUUUAUUCGUCAAAAAAUAAAAAUAAAAUAAUAGUAGUUUCCCAAAUCAUGAUUGGGUUUCCUAAUUUUUUCCACCCGAUUGGCUGAGCAAACAAUUUUUGUUUACAUUGAACUUUUCAAAGGUGAUGUUUAUUGGUUAAUUAAACUUUUAAACGAUUAAAAUUAUGAUUUACAUCGGCAAAGGUAUGUAAAUAAGAAAGAGUUCGGACGCAUACGUAUAAACAUUAGAGGAAUCGAAUCAAGCCAUUCAAGUUGUUCAGAACAUUCAAAAGCUAUGCUGGCUAGCCUAUGUGCUAUUACAUUUGUGGUUCUUGACCAUGACAUUCUGCAGCCUCCUAAGACUAGUGAAUGUCAUCUAAUGUCUUAGGAUGUCAUCUAAUACAUUUCCAUACUCCAACUUCAGGUAGUCUGGAGCUUGGAUUUCCAUAAUCCGGCCUUCGAAGUCGACAUCCUCCUUUGUGAGUGCCAACGUCGUCGAGAGAUGAUUCGCCAUUUUUUCUUCCAUCAAAAAUUGGUUGUAGAAAAGUGAAAAACCAUGGUUCUCUCUUUUUUCUAUUACCUUUAUUUUCAUAGUUUUCAAUGCCAAGCUCAAUCGUAUUACCUUUAUUUUCCACUCCAAGUUAACAUGGCCAAGAUCUUUGUGUAAUAAUAAGUGUGGUCACGGUAAUGACUUAUGUUACGUGUCACCCAGUGUUUACAUGGUCAGUCACUGACUAAGAGAUUCUUGGUCAGUCAUCAUUAGAUUUACAUUCAAGGGUUAAAACAUUUCUACUAAAAAAUAAUUCUUCCCACCAUUGGAUUUAAAUCUAAUGGUAACUGACCACGAAUCUUUUGGUCAGUCACCGACUAGGUGAACAUGACUGCAUCGAUUAAACUUUUCAUUUUAAGUUACAGCACUCCAAAGGGGUUGGAACAGAAUGAGGCUGAGGCCUAAUGUCCAAAACUACAAUGAGCAAAUUGAUGAAUGACUGGCAGAAAGCUUCAACUAAACCUCAGCCAGUCGUUGAAUGAUAGGCUAUCAUCCACAACCUCAUCGUCUACCAAAGACAAAAAACGGAGUAAUAAUCCCUACCCUACUCUCUUGCACAUCUCUUAGAUCGUUUAUUCUGAGUCACUCCCACCCAACUUGUUCUAUAGACCUUGCCAAUUAUUUCUGUGAAACGAAGCUUUCGACUGCUUUGCCUCCAAUUCCAAGCAAGCAUGGCUUCGGCUAAUAUUCUUUCUAUGGCCAAACCAUCUCCUCAGGUUCAUGCAGCUUCUUACUGACAUGUACUCAUAGUAUGAUUGCUAGCUAUUUCUCUAUAGUUAACGAAAAAGUUAUUUACUUCUCAGGAAAAUGGGAAGGGGUUUGUAGAAUUCUCAAGUACUCUGCGCAACACAUCAGCUAAUUGCCUUCAGUUUGGAAGGAAGAACUCCGAUGAUUCUGUCUCUGUUGUUGCCUUCCAUAGUUCCCCUGCUGUGAGUAGUACACUUUACUCAAAAUCCUUUUUCUGCAAAUCAGCUGCCAAUACUCAAUACUGUAGCUUCCUUUUUAAAACUAUGGAGAGGAUGAUUAAGAAGUUUAAACUUGAGCUACGUUCUUAAAUUGUUCACAUUUCAUUACUAUGAAACUCAUGAUCUCUAAUGUUUCCUCAUAUAUUUUUUUUUUUUCAUCUACAUUAGCAGCAAAUGGUAAGUAAAGCGGUAGCAUCUAAAAGAACUAUCGCCUGCUCUGCUCUGCAAGAAUCAUCUACUUCCACUGGUAAGUUGCUCCAUUUUCAUAAUGAAUCACAGGGAGUCAUUGUCUUCUGAUUAAUCUGACAAGUUAUGCAGCAUUGGUAAAUCGUGAACUCUUCUUGCCCCUUUUACGUGCUAGUUGCUGCUGAAACGAAAGAAGUGAAAGCAGCUCCAGCAAAGCCUAAAGCUCCGGCAAAAGCUCCAGUCAAGCCGUUACCUCAAAUGAUGGAAGAGGAUAUAAUCCCAUCGCUGAAAGCAAUACUCGAAACUCCUCAAAAUCAGCUCUCUGAUAUUGAGCUAUUUUUUGAAGACAACAAGGUUGGUCUUCUCAUCUUCAUUUUAGCAUUAUGCAGAACCUAAUGCCGUCCAGUUGAUCAUUUAUGACAACACUGUCUGCUGCUCCGGUUGAUAGCUUGAAGGUUCGUUUCUGAAGAAGGGCAAUUCAUAUUCAUUUUGGGCAUUCUUUCCCAACGGAGACCUCACAGGUACAUCUUGUGAUCUUCAGAAAUAAUGUUCAGGUCACAAUUAUGACAUAAAACACCGCUGCUGAUACUUCCAUGCUUGGCACAAUCUGCAGGUCCAAAAGGCUUUUCUUUAUCUUCCUACGGCUUAGGAGCAAGCACUGUCGAACCUUUUCUCGUUGAUGAGAAGAAGAUUACGGCAAGACACAUUAUCUUUUGGGUUGAAAAGCGUUUGGCAGCUCAAGGAAUCAUUCCUGUGUGGAAAGACUAAACCAAACUCGUACAAGUUCACCAAACUCACUACCAAUGUUGUGAAUUUACCGACGUACAUUUUUUGUCUAUUGACUGGUAUCAAAUAUUUUUGAUUGAGGCUCCAAAGUCCGCUGCCCCAAUCUCUCCUAUACAAAGCAAUGACACUUCUCACAAUUUUCUAAUUUACUUUUUGGAGUCUGCAUACAUUAUUAUAUUAUUGAAAAAGUAACUAAUAAUCUACAUCCUUUCACCAAACGCACAGACCAUCUUCCGAAAUGAAGAGAAGAAGAAACUAAUAUCAUUGGAGAAAAGAAGAAAGUUGUAAAAUGGAACUGUUAUUAAAGAAAUAAUUGAUAUCAUACGUCACGAUAAACUAAGCGGGGAAAACGAAAUUGUAAAUUAGCCAGUGCUACCGGAUAAGUCUCCUGAAAUUGCACUUCCGUAUGAAACAGAUCCUGUUUGAGAAGCAGUGCGGCUAGCCGAAGCAGAACGGCUAGCCCUCUGGAUCUGCCGUAUCCUGAAAGCAUCAGUUGGGAGUGGUUGGCUCUGCACUGUAGUUUCAUCUUCGUCUUUCCCUGUCAAUAAUAAGAUAUGAUUACUAUUAGCUUCUCAAUAUAACCUCAUCAAAGAGCCAGGAACUCUAUGCAUUAACAGAACACACUGAGACAAUUUGAUUUUCACUUGAUCAAAAAUGGUACUCAAAUUAACGAUUUCAUUAACAGCGGUGUAUUUCUCAAGGCAACCAUCCUACUAGCAAAUUCACAAACUGAAGGCCCAAAAGAAUCCACAGCCAAGCUAUUCCAAUUUGAACACCAUAAUUAAAUCUAUGCAAUCAGGACGGUAACAAAGUGAAUAAAUCCAACCGACACUAACCGGAAGAUUAGCUUGAACUUCAUUUAACAAUGACUGUUUAGUGUGUUGCACAUUUAUGGGAUGAUAAAAAGGAAAAGGAAAAAGCCAAAGAACAAAAAACACGUACUAUCUAUAUUUUUCCGUUUCCCCCUCGUUGGCUUGAAAGAUGAGCCACUUGGGAUGGGAUGAGACUUGCUUGAAACGGAAAGGUCACUCGUAGAAGGAGCAGGUACCGAUGGAAAUUGUACAUGGGCAGUCCCUGACUUUACAGGCUGUGGUGCUGGUAUGUCACUUUGCAAACAAAUUGAUAGCACAAUAUCCACGUCUGGGGUUGGGCCUGAAAAUUUCAAACAGUAAAUUUUCCAAUCAACAACAGCAUAAUUGAUUAAUUGGGUUGAUAUAGCAAUAAAAAUUCAUCACCAUUGACGACACCAAGCACAUUUCAUAAGAGAAAACUUAAAUGUACUGUCCAUGAAAUUGAAAUAUUAAGAAAAUAGGAAUUCAAUGUAGAAGCAAAUCUGUCCUAGAUAAUAGGUUUUUAACUUUUUAUACUUUAACAAAAGUUCAAGAAACUACUUAUAAAUUGUCCAUUGAACUACUAAAAAAUACUAAAAAUCAACUAGCCAACAAACAUCUGGGCUGCUACACCAAGAUGAAUACAACUUGAAAACCAAUUAGGACGUUACAUCACAUUAUCACAACCUCACUGCCAUCCAAGGAAUUGAGGAAACAAAAUGCUUCUUAAAAACAGGGGAAGCAAACCCCCAUAAAGAUUCCAAAAAGUAGAUACUCAACCAGCUCUCCCUUCACAUCAUCAAUACCCUCCUAUUUCUCUUCAUACACAACACUCAAAAGAUAGCCAUCAAAGUGCAUCACCUGGCACCGCCUCUCACUUUUUACACCCAAAACAACUAUAUCUCUCACAAAAUAACUCCCUGUGCAACUUAAAAUCAAGAUGGCUCUCUAAACAAACUACACUACCACAGAAUCAUGCAUACUAGAAAAAAUUUCUCUAGGUAUGAAGAUAGACUUGCAUUUGUAUGCAGCAACUCUGGUUUCAUUUAAUGGAAUGAAAGAUUUUGAAGUUUACCUUCAAUGAUAGGUAAAUUUGCUAAAAAGGCUACCAAAGCAGGUGGAGUCACUUUAAGUAUUUCAUCAAAGGCACUCAUUGUUUGGCCACCUACUGCUGCAACAACCGGAUUUGACAAGGUGCUAGCAGCAGUGAGAACUCCAGCUACCCCUAAAGAUAAAAUAUAAAAAAUAGCAGAGGCAGAAGGAUCAGCCAUUGAGCAUUAUAACCAAACUAUAUAUCAUGUCAAUCAAUCUACAGUGAAAAUAAACUGUAAAGCUUUGGAGUUUGGACAUUCCGGAAGCACUCAUUUAUGAAUUAUUUAAAGAAAAUGAAAAGCAAUUACUAUAAACUGAUGAUUCACACUACAUUUGCAAUAAACAAGCAAUUAGUCAUUCCCUUUCCCACCAGAAAAACAAAAAUAUAUCAAAACAUUCAAAAGUGCAAGAGCAAAUGUAAUGACUAGAUAUUUUAAUGUGAGCAAAAACUGUAAGGAUAGUCAAUCCCUCUCAACAGCUGACAUUUGAACUUGAAUAGUGCUAAAAUAAAACCCAUGCUUAUUAUCUGGUCAAACUAUACUACCCAUGAAAUCAGAGUACUAGGUGAAAUCAAGCGAAAUUGAAACGCCCAACAACCCUGAGACUGAGAAAAUAAAUGAAAAUUGACCCAGACCACACACGGCUGCAUAAUUCUAACUAGUUAUGGAUAUUGUUGGUCCUGAUUUGCAAUAGCUGAUUACUAAAAACUUCGUUUUAACAUUAAAUUUGUAUUGAUAGAAGUGCACAAUUAAACUGACACAAUAUUCCUCUAUACAUACCAAACAAGGAAGAACUUCAAAUUAAACAUCCCUAUUAUGUGAUAACUCCCACCCAAUUAAUUUUUUUUUUUUUUUUGAAAACGAAAGAAUUUCAUUCAAUAAGUUAAUGAGAGAAAAAAACUAGAAGGCCAUAUAGCACAAUAAAGCAGAUAUAGCUAAAUCAGGAUGAGAGUUCACACAAAAUAAUGAGUCCCACUUUUAAUUAUCACUAGGAUUAAGUUGUUUUCGUCAAAAGAAACAACGUUUUAAUAAUAACAUUGAACACUUUUUGUGGAAAUGGUACCCAGUUAAUACAUGCAGCCCAGGUCAAUUCUUUCUCCUAACCACUAUUCUGUUUUGUAUGAAGGUUACUUUACUUUGUUAUUAUCCAUACCAAAAAUCCAAUCAGGGCCUCAAUAAUUAGAUGCAGCCCAGGAAAUUCUUUCACCCAGCUACCAUUCAGUAAACUGUGAAGGUUAAUUUAAAGCUUUAUUAUCCAUAGCAAAGAUCUAAGCACGCUCACUAAAAACAACUAAAAAGAAAUAACUAAGCAGAAUCUCUACCAGGUUUUUGCCUUGGAUCAUAGAUAACCAUUUGGUUAGUAUCUGGAUAAACAACUUUUGCAGACACUGAUGAAUUGCUUAUCAGGCCAGUAGAACCCUUGUCUGCACAGAAAGACCACAAAUUGCUAAGCAGUGAGUUAAUAAUUAAGCAAUACCAAACAAUUUUCGUUGGCCACGACAUCAGUUAAACGCAAUAACGCUACCUGCAAGUUCAGAUCCACUUAGCAUAGUUGACUUCUCUGCUUUCUUAUUAAUAUUUUUAGCAAGCCACUGAAAAAGAGGAAGCAGAGUGACAUAAAUAAAUAAAUAUGUAUAUAUAUAAGCAACUAACUAAACUGAACUGUUUAAAAGUCUUUGAAGCUUCAGGUUUUACAUAGGGUUGACAAUUUGUUUCUGAGUGUAUAACUACAGGUUUUAGAUAGAGUUGACAAUUUGUGUUAACAGGCCUUCUUCAUGUGUUUCAUGUUACUUAUCAGUUAAAGCUAACUCAACUUCUUUAACAUUGACGACACAAAACUAAACCCCAAGAAUUUAGAAAUGUGUUCUGUUUGGUUGACCCAGUUUCCUUAUUAACUAUAAAUUUCAAAAAUGUUUUCCCCAGUUUUAGAAACAUAAAAGGCAUAGUAUACAAAUUCAUUGGGUGUUAAAGAAACAAGCUGAAUUACACAAGACCUCCUGUGUGCCGACACAAAAGAAUUAUACACUAUACUUACAUUACUUUGUGUUGAGGACAAGCAAAACUUUUAGGAAAAAUUUCAGUUUACUCCUCUGAACUUUAGGUCUAAAAUCAGUCUGAUACCUCAUCUUUUUUUUUAAUCAGUUUCAUCCCUAAACUUUCAAAAUGACAUCAAUCUCGACCAAAAUGACUAAAAUAGCCCUUGUUACGGUUUUCCAUCAAUUACAGCCUCCAUUACACCCCAAAAGCAUAAACCUAANNNNNNNNNNNNNNNNNNNNAGAGAGAGAGAGAGAGAGAGAGAGAGAGAGGGGGGGGGGGUUUAAAAGGGAUUAAGUUUUUUAUCUUUAGGUUUAUGCUUUUGGGGUGUAAUGGAGGCUGUAAUUGAUGGAAAACCGUAACAAGGGCUAUUUUAGUCAUUUUGGUCGAGAUUGAUGUCAUUUUGAAAGUUUAGGGAUGAAACUGAUUAAAAAAAAAAGAUGAGGUAUCGAACUGAUUUUAGACCUAAAGUUCAGGGGAGUAAACUAAAGUUUUUCCAAACUUUUACUAGCAAAAUGUAGGAUCCAAAUUGCAAAUUUUAUUAUUUUCAUUUCCCUCAACCCCGAACAUAAAAUACUUAAACACAUGUGUACCGACAUCAAAUAGGGUGAUGGUAUUCGUACUCAUUUUUCUCUUUAGCUUACUAUUCACACUCCUUUUUGUGACUUAAUGAUGAUGAUAAAAGGGAGUAUUAGUACUAUUUCAAAGAGAAAGGGGAGUGUGAGCCAUGAACAUGAGCCAUCAAAACACCAAUAAUCUCCAAGUAGAUCAAGUUGUUAGAUUAAAUUUGGUUACUGGACUAGUACACAAACCCGAGCCACAAAAUUAAUUCACAUGUAAAACAAACACAUAAACAUAUUAUUGAGUUCAACAAUAAUUUCACUAAAGAUACCUCUUGUCGCGCUAAAUGGUCCAAAUCCUUCGUGGAGCAGGGCCAAAGAUCCAUGAAACUAUAACGAGAUACAACCUCUUGUAAAGAACUUUCCAAAGAUGAAGGUCCCUCUUCAUCAGUUAUAGAAAGUGCUUCUUUUUUUCUUUGCUCAACCUAUACAAAUUAGAAAUCCAGCAAAUCAAUGCUUCUAGUAGAAGACGAUGAUCAAAGUUCAUAUAAAUAAUCCAACAGCACCUUUUCUAAAAGAUCGAUUUACAUAGACAUGAAAAUAUGUAAUAUAUUGAAGUUCAGAUUACCACGUAGUAAGUAAACCAUUAUCGUGAAUUAAGAAUUAGUAUUCACUAAGGUAUGAUCUGGGUUACUACAUCAACUGUGGAAACUUGUCAUUAAGUAACAAAACAAAGUUUAGGGAGAUACAAGAUCCCAUUUAAAUGAUGUAAUGAUAUAUACGGAUUAGGUAUCAACAAGGCCACUAGCUAGGGUGCUAUCGAGGCUCCUACAUCAACUCCCAAAAUUGAAAAAAUGAGAAUGUGCUAAGUUCAAAUGUUUAUUUUCAUAUUAUUAGUGGUCGAGCAUUGUCAUUGUUAUCUAAUAUUCACUUCAGAAGGUAUAAUAGAUAUAAAAAAUAAGAACUCUGACUUCACAGAUCAAGUAAAAAUGAAUAACUACUUUGUUUAACAACCGAAGGACUGUAACAAAGGUGUAUGUGACAAAAUUUUGAGGUAUUCGGGUGCAUGUGAAACGCUCACUGCUUUCACCAGUUAGACAAGCCUCACAUAACAAAAAAAAAAA
RNAcentral lists this long non-coding RNA (48385 nucleotides) under Fragaria vesca (wild strawberry). RNAcentral describes it as "long non-coding RNA (FVES_LNC002467)". The record is from RNAcentral. Lineage: Eukaryota; Viridiplantae; Streptophyta; Magnoliopsida; Rosales; Rosaceae.